UGUAAUAAUAAUAAAAAUUAAAAUUGAAAUUAAAAAUUUAUAAAAACAACAAAAAUCUAUUUUCUUUUUUCAGAAUUUUUUUUUGGAAUUAUUUCUCAUCAAACACCACAAUUUUCAACUCCAAAUUUUUCUUUUUGUUAAAAAAGGGAAAGAUUUACAUUUCCAAACGGGCCCUUAGUGCACUUACCAGAUCAUCAGAGCACUAUUCUUUCCGAAAAUAAAUCAAAACACAAGAAAUAAACUAUAGCCAACCAAAUCAGGGUAACAAGAUAUGCAAUAGCACAUAAACCAGUAGAAACUCAAUUCAAGGGAGUGUAUUUUCGACGAACAACAAUUAUAAACGGAGAAGGAAGUGGCGUUGCUUCCAUAGCUUUGGCCGGGGCAACGCCAUAUGUACAAAGCUCCGGUCAGAUCGGGCCCAACAAUGGUACAACAACAAUGAGGGGGAGCAGCGGGUGGUGGAGGAAGAUCCGAGGUUGAACUCCGGUGGUUGUUUGGUUGUGAUUCCGGCCAGAUUUGGACGGAGAAGAUAGAAGAAGAGAUUGGGGUAUGUUGGUAUGGUUGUCGGAGCCGUUUGGGGAUGGAGAAAGGAGGAAGAGAGUGGUAAUUUAUGGUGGCUGGUCGGCGGGCUGGUGGAUGUUUCGCCGGUGUUGGUGACUCGUGGUGGUGCGGCGCGGCUGGAGAGGGGGAAAAGAAGAGGGAAAGGGGAGAAGGGGACUGGUUGGUGGAGGUUACCGUGGUGGCCGGAGCUCCGGCGGUAAAGGGCGGCAAGGGAAAGGGGGGAAAAGGAGAAAAAAUACGGGAGAUGAGAGAGAGACUGACGUAUGGAAUCUGAUAUUUGUGUGUGUAUUGUGUGUGUAUAUUGUGUAUUUUUAUUUUUUCUCAAAAAUAAUAAAUAUCCCUCCCAUUCUUUUAUAAUAUAAAGUGACCCCUUUUAUUAUCCAAAAAAAUGAAGAAUUAACCCCUUUUUGUCUCCCUAAUGCAUGAUUUAAACCACGGAUUAUUAUCUUAUGGAUUUUUCACCUUUUAAACUAAAAUAUAUAAAAAAAAUUAUCCAAAAAAUAAAAAUCUCAAUUCGUCAUCUUAAGUGUUUAAAAGUAACGAGGCCUUGACUUGAUUGAUUUGUUUCUCUGUGUAUUAAAAUAAUUAAACUGACUCACAUUUGCAUGCAGAUCAUAUUAAAUAAUGUAUAAAGUAAUGAAUAUCGAUAUAUAAUUACUGAAAAAUAUAAACAACAAAUAAAAAGUAUAAUUAUCUUGAAAAAAAUAUAUUAUGCUAUAAAUAAUUAAAAUUAUAUUAUGCAAUAAAAAAUUACAAUGCUGUGUACGUAUGUAAAUAACUGGGCAAAAAAAAAUUAAAAUAAUAAUAAAAUGAUAAGAAUUCUAAAAUUUAUGAAAUUAAAGAUAAUUAUCAAUAAAUUAUGUAAAAUUAAAAUAUGAAAAUAAAUGUGUAAAAAAUUUUAAAAUAAUGAUGAUUAUCAAUAAUUUAUUAACAAUUGCAAAAAUAAGUGAAAAAUUGUAUAUUGUGCCAUUUAACGAUCAGAGAGCCUAUAUACGUUAAUUUAAGUAUGGAGAGUCAAAAUUAGGUGUCAAUAGUUUGCCCCUUUUCGUUUGAAGAUAAUGUAGAAGUCUUCAAACGAAAACGUUGAUGUGUAGCCAAUUUUGCUCGACAAAAAAAUAUUUUUAAUAAAAAAAUUCUAGUGAACUCCAAUUUGGAUUUGCCUACAUUUUUUGAGUUGCUUGAGAAACAGGUUGGGUAUAGCUCAAAAGCUAUCCCAGUAUGUCCUACUUUUGGUUGGACAAACCCAAUACUUUCGCGAAUUCUAUGCUGCAAAAAUUUACAAAACUAAAAAACAACAGAUAAACUGGUAAUUAAGCUGAAUUUUAUUUUUCAAGAAAUGUAAAAAUAAAUAAACAAAGACAUUACAAGAUUUUAACCAAAGACAAGUAAAAUAUUCAAUUAAAAAUAAAAAUUACAUAAAGAUCUUAUUAGGGAGCAGAUUAACCCAAAAUAUUUCAUUUUAGGGUGGACGGACCUAAUUUAUCAUCAAAUGAUAUGCUUGCAAGUGCAUCAAACUAGGAAGUACUUCUUAAUAAAACAUAAACGAAAAAUUUAACUUGAUUUUCUUUUUUCCUUUUUAAAGAAAUUAAAGAUAACAUGCAGUGCUUAACUAAUUAAGAAAAAUUGUACAGAAAAAGAUAACAUUUAGUGCUUAAAUUGUAAAAAUAAGUACAUUACAAUAUUUACAGGUAAAAACAAAGCAUGCAGUGUUUAAAUAAGAAGGUAAACGCAUUGCAAUGUGCAAAUAAAUGUAAAGAUGACAUGUGGUGCUUAAAUUAUAAAACAAAUAUAUUGUGAUAUGUGCAAGAAAAAGCCAAGAUGACAUGCAGUGCUUAAAUGAUAAAAUAAAUAUAUUACGAUAGUUGCGAGGCAUGCGGUGCAUAAAUGAUAAAAUGCAUUGUGAUAUGUCGUGCAGUACUUAAAUAAAAAAAAAAAAUGCAUUGCGAUAUGUGUCAGCAAAGACAAAAUGAUAUGCAUUGCUUGAAUGAUGAAAAUAAAUACAUUGCGAUAUUUACGAGGCAUGCGGUGCUUAAAUGAUAAAAUGCAUUGCGAUAUAUGCGUGCAGUGCUUAAAUAAGAAAAAUAAAUGCAUAGCGAUAUGUCAAUAAAGGCAAAGAUGACAUGCAGUGUUCAAAAGGUGAAAUGAAUGCAUUGCGAUAUUUGCGAAGCAUGCAGUGCUUAAAUGAUAAAACGCAUUGUGAUAUGUGCGUGCAGUGCUUACAUGACGAAAUAAAUGCAUUGUAAUAUUUGCGAGGCAGCAGUGCCCAAAUGAUAAAAUAAAUGCAUUGCAUUAUGUGCGUGCAGUGCUUAAAUGCAGAGCAAUAUGCGAUGAUAAAAGUAAGAAUGGGAUGCAAUGCUGAAAUGAUAAAAUAAACACAUUGCGAUAAGUGCGAGUAAAGGUAAGAAUGACAUACGAUGCUUGAAUAAUAAAAUAAAUAAAUACAUUGCGAUGCGUGCAAGUAAAGAUAAGAAUAAAAUGCGGUGCUUAAAUGAAUAAAUGCAGUGCGGUAUACUGCCAACAAAGACAAAGAUAACAUGCAGUACUUAAAUAAUGAAAUAAAUGCAUUACAAUAUUUGCGAGGCAUGCAGUGCUUUGAUAACAAAAUGCAUUGCGAUAUGAGCCAGUAAAGGCAAAGACGACAUGCAGUGCUUAAAUAAUAAAAUAAAUGUAUUGCGAUGUGCAAGUAAAGAUAAAGCUAGCAUGUAGUGCUUAAAAGAUAACAUAAAUGCAUUGCAAUGUGUGAUGCAUUGCAAUGUGUGCAAAUAAAGAUAAAAAAAAUGUGCAGUGCUUAAAUGCAUUGCAAUGCGUGCAAAUAAAAGUAAGAAUAAAAUGCGGUGCUUAAACGAUAAAAUAAACGCGUUACGAUGCGUGCAAAUAAAGACAAAGAUAAAAUACAGUACUUAAAUGAUAAAAUAAAUGCAUUGCGAUAUGUGUCAGCAAAGGCAAAAAUAGCGUGCAGUGUUAAAUAAUAAAAUAAAAUACAUUGCGAGAUGUGCAAAUAAAUAAAUACAGUGCUUAAAUAACAAAUGAUAAAAAAAAAUACAUUGUGAUGCGUGCAAGUAAAGCAAAGAUAGCACACAAUGCAAAAAAAAAAGUAAAUAUGUGUAAGUAAAGACAAGCAAGUAUAAAUAUUAAAUUAAAAAAAAGCGUGUACACUGUCUUUUGGAGGGCAGACCGACCCGAUUAUCCUAUUUUAGGGUGGAUAAAUCCAUGUAAAAAAAUAAAUAUUAAGCAAAGAAAUAUUUGGGAAUGAAAGUAUUCACAUAUUCUCGAUGCUGCUUUCAAAAUUGCCCCAGUAUCAAGUUGUAAGAUGCUGGGGAAUGCAAGAUCGUGUACUUGCUGGGGAGAAAGAAUAUUUAUGGAUUGUGACGACCGAACUCUGCGUAGAACUUCCUACAUAUCUCGAAUGUUAUGAGAAUCAGGCCAAUGUAGUUCGAAAUAAGAAAAUAAAGUAAAUUUUGAGGUGGAUUCUUAAAAUUUGCUCCAGUGUAUGAUAUAUGGCUAACACUGUCUCUUUGAAAAAAAAAAACUUAAAAAGAUGUACGACGUCUCCCGAUUGUCUAUGGGGACUUGAAAAUGAAUGAAGUCUUUGAUUAUCUACGAAGAUUGAGGUACUCAGCUAGUGAGGUGACUGAAAUCUAAUAGCCUCUCGAUUGAUAUGGCUAUAAAAAAUGUAAAAAAUACUUAAAUGGGCGCCUAACUACAAAAUAAAAUGCCGGUAUUUAAAGGCAUGUCUUUGAAAGAAAAAAUCAAAUAUCCUUAUUUGAAAAUUAGGUACUUUAAAUAAAAAGUAAAAAUGCAUUUAUGUUAAAGUCGACAUCUUGAAUGAAAGGUAAAAAAGGAUGUCCGUAUGUUAAAGCGGACGUCUUUAAACAAAAGAAAAAUAUUGUAUUUUUUAGUUAAAAAUGCUAAAAGAUGAAGAAGACACAAUCGUGUUUUGACUUCAGUUGGUACCAAUAAUUAGUAGUGUGCAUAAGAAUUCUCCCAUCUCCUUUUCAGCUAACCGAGAUCAACUUCAGGGUAACUUUUAUAGUUUCAAGUGGUACCUCAGAUACGCCUAAGUAUCGACAAGAUUUGUUCGUCUUGUUCCAAAUAAAGAUUUUAAACUAUGUCUAUUCUUAUAUUUCAAGUGCCCAAUCCAGAAAGAAAGUCUCAUUUCGUACAUAUUUGAGUAAUUUUCUUUUUAAAUUUGGACAAAUCUAGAGAAAUACACUCACACACAGAAAGAAUUCAAUGCAUGUAAUUGUGAUACCAUAGGCUUGACCUCCAUGUAAGUAUCCACUAAUGUGAGAACGCUUGAAAUAGGAUCUCGUAGUACUUUAUAUCAGCUUGUAAUGUAGGCUUGAGGACGGGUAGAAUAAUACUUGGGAUAAAAGUGACUAAUCCCUCAAUGAGCAUUACACUGCAUUUGUGCUUUCAACAUUUGUUGUGCUUUGACGCAUGAUCUUUUAGUUGUGCUUCGUUGUCUCUUGCUUUGCAUUUGCUUCGACUUCUUUUGAAUUUUGCGUUGGAGUUUUCCCCCACUUUUCAAGAAAUUAUAUUUUUUUUAUUCUUUUCUCUUUUUUGGGGGAUUUUGCUCUUUUCGAAGUCAUUUUUUAUUUUUUGUUCAUCUGAUAACAUAUUCUUUGUCUUUUGCGUCUUCGAUCUUGAAUCUUCGUUCGUAAUUUGCACGUAUUUAAUGCGCUCAAGGAGGUAGGGCAAAGAGAGGGAUAGUGCAUGUAAGCACUCAGAAAGGUAUAGUCUUAGAUGCGGUUGUCCAAAUAAAAGGUCUUAGGCUAAAAAAGGGGAAUGCUAGGGAUUAAUGUCAUUUGGUGGGCUAUGAAAGGCUCAAUCGGGUCAAAAAAGGCCUACGGUCCUUUUCUAAACUAAGUGCAACUCAGAAUUUUGCUUCAACAGACAUCAAAGUCAAGUUCUAGAUCAACAAUGUAAUGCAAUAAAUUAAGCUAAAGCUCGCCACACAAUGCACAUGAAACAAUGAGGUUGGCUUCGUUUUUGUCUUAAAUGUAUGCAAGAGAAUUUUCAAGUGUUACUUAGAUGUGAUAAAAGGUACCAAAAGAACCUAUGGCUUACCAUAAAGUCUACUCCUCCUACCAUAUCAAUCUGCUCUUUCUCAUGCACACUCCUAACUGUAGAUAUCAACUAAGUCAAAAUUUUAUUUUAUUUUUUUAAAAAAGAAUGGGAUCGAACCCAAAUAAGGGUUGCCUACGUAUCUUAUGAAAACAAGAAUCAGGUCUGCGUAGUUCAGGCAAAUUUGUGAAUUAGUAUGCGCCAUGUAUGAUAAGAAAAUAAUGGUCAUUAAUAAAAAUAAUGUGAAAGACGAUCAGGAAAGAACUGCUGGAAAGAACUGCUUUUAGCAUCAAAAUUAUUCUGAUCAAAUGAUCGAAAGAAUGGAUGUAAAGCAUGAGAAGAGCUUGGACACAACUUCAGUAUGCUGACAAAAUUAAAAAGCUGAAUAUUGAAGGAAUUAUGAUGUUAUUUUAUCGUAGUUGGCAGAAUUAUUAUAAUUGAAAAAUAUUAAAUUCUUGCUUUAGAGAGUGGGGAUCAAUACGUCAUAAAUUUAAUGGUUCACGACGUUCGAAAAAAGAAACUAGGUAAAAUUGAGUAAAGAUCUGAAGAUAGGCCGGCUAGGCACUAAUGUCAAUGAGAUUUGAAUUUUGAGGAGCUAUUAAAUUGCGCUCUUGAAGGCUUUUUGAGAGCGUCUUUGAACUGUUUCAGAAAAUUGCCCCAAUUUGAAUACCGGAGAAAUUAUUCUGAAAUAGUGAAGAGCCCGAACCCUAAUGCAGGGUUGCCUACGUAUUUUGUCAAGACAAGAAUCAGGUCAAAACGUAGUUCAAACGUAUACGCAAUUAUUGACAAUGUUACCAAGGUGCAUCUUUUAACUAAUUCGCACUGCAAAACAAAGGUUAAAUUACAUCUUCUCACUAAAGUAUAACCAAUUAAUAGUAAAUAGGCAUAAUUAUUCGUUAAAUAUGUACAGAAACUAUGAUAGUGUGUUACUUUGGGUCGUAAACCCUUCGGACAUUUGGAUAAAACUAACUAACAAUGCAUGUACCUAAAAAAAUGUUAUUUUAGCUCUAUUCUAUGCUAACUAAGAGUGGGUAAACAAGGACUUGGAUUUCCUAUAUGACAAGGUACAUAGUCCCACGAUAGUAAAACUCCCGCUUACCCCACAUAUACGCCAACUCUCUAAAAUAAGGUGAUUUAAAUUUUUUUUGAGAAAGUACAAUCCACGUGUACAAUGUGUGCUAGUGUCAGUUUUCCAAAAUGGAGAAAAUAUGAGCGGAAUGAUAAUUUAUAUAAAGCAAUAAACAAUCUAUAAACAAAUAAAUAAUUUAAGCCAUAUAAACAUGAUAAAUCAAGACAAUUAGUAUGAAACAAAUAACAAUGUAUAAAAACAUAAAUAAUUACCUAAAUUUGUAAUGGUUAAAACUUUGUAUUUCCCAGUAGAGUCGCCAAACUGUCAUACCCUAUUUUUACCUAAGGUCAAAACGAGCAUGACAUUAUGGACUCUAAAAGAAUAAAUUUUGUACAGAGUCGCCACCUAAUUUUUAAAGAAAAUGAGGAAACCUAUUUAAUUAUUAGCAAUUAUGACUUUAUUUUAAUCUGUAAAAUCAAUUUAGAUUCAAGAUAAGGGUUCAAAUUAUUUCGAAGGGAAGGUAUUAGGCACCCUUCAGAAUCCACAAAUGUAGUUCCCGAUUAGACUUAGAUUUUUUAUGAGGCGAAGGAAAAAAUCAAUGCUUAUAAAUAAAAUUCAAAAUAUACAUUAAAAUAAUAUAAACUAUUUGCAUAUAAAGAAUGUAUAAAUUACAUAAAUUAUUGUAUAUAAAAAAUGUGUGAAGAUGAUCAAAAGUAUAUAAGAAUAUGUAUAAAAAGAAAAGAAAAAUUGAAUAAAGAAAAAUUUAUUUUAAAUAAAAAGAUUAUGCAAUAUUUUCAAAUGUAUAAGUAUGAAUUAAUUGAUUAAAUAUCUAAAUUAAUUUAUUUUUUUUAUAAAUAUUAACGACCUAAAUUUGUCUAAAUACGCGGUAAAGAUUGUAUAAGUUAAAACAUUCCCGCCCAAUGCCUCCAAAAUAAAGUUUUCACUAUGAUAAUAUUUGUACAAAUAUAAAAAUAUAAUGCAAAAUUUAAAAUCUUCCUUGAAUGUCACUCCCGAUGAAUUUUUUCAAUAACCUGUAUAAACAAACACUUACAAUAAAAAUGUUAGUAACAAAUAAAUAAUUAUUAAAAAAUUAAGAAGAUGUGUGUACAUAUAUGUAUAAAAACUAGAAUUUUUCAGUAAAAAAUAUAGGCUCGGAUCAAAUUUUAAGUACGUCAUGAAAUAUGGGCUCAGACCAAAUUUUAGUUACGUCAUGUCUACGAAAUGAUUGCUUAAUUUAUUAACCGUCCUAAAUCGUCUUGCCAAGAUAUAAAUCAUAAAACUUUUGCGUUGUUAUAAAAAUUUUGUCAUCGCUCAAUUCAUUUAUUUUAUUACAUAUUUAUAUACAUAAUAUCCAUCUUUUUAUUUGUGCAAGCCUAAAAAAUCGACGAAAAAUUUCUUCAUUGAUCAACUAGCGUAGUAUUUUAUUCAUUAUCAAUAUAACCUCAAAGUCAGUAAAUAAAAAGGAUGAAAUCCUCCAAAUUUAAUUCCUAAAGAAUGCGACCCAGUAGCAGAAUACAUCAAAAAUUAUGCCUCAUCAGUCCAAAAUAAUGCUGAUAAAAAGCAAAAUAAACUAAAUGCAUUAGCAGUAGGCAACUCAGAAAACAACAACAAACAUUUAGUGCACUUAGUAGAUCAUCAAAGCACUACUCUUUCCGAAAAUAAAUCAAAAUACAAGAAAUAAACUAUAACCAACCAAAUCAGGGUAACAAGAUAUGCAAUAGCGCAUAAAGCAGUAGAAACUCAAUUCAAGGGAGUGUUUUUUCGACGAACAACAAUAAUAAACGGAGAAGGAAGUGGCGUUGCUUCCACGGCUUUGGCCGGAGCAACGCCAUAUGUACAAAGCUCCGGUCAGAUCGGGCCCAAAAAUGGUACAACAACAAUGAGGGAGAGCAGCGGGUGGUGGAGGAAGAUCUGAGGUUGAACUCCGGUGGUUCCACAUUAGGCCGGAGAAGAUAGAAGAAAAAAUUGGGGUAUGUUGGUGUGGUUGCCGGAGCUGUUUGGGGAUGGAGAAAGGAGGAAGAGAGUGGUGGUUUGUGGUGGCUGGUCGGCGCGCUGGUGAAUGUUUCGCCGGCGUUGGUGGCGCGUGGUAGUGCGACGCGGUUGGAGAGCGGGGAAAAGAAGAGGGAAAUGGGAGAAGGGGGCUGGUUGGUGGAGGUUGCCGGAGCUCCAGCGGUAAAGGGCAGCAAGGAGAAGGGGGAAAAGGAGAAGAAAAACGUGAGUUAAGAGAGAGAAUGGCGUAUGGGAUCUGAUAUUUGUGUGUGCGUAUUGUGUGUGUAUAUUGUGUAUUUUUAUUUUUUCUCAAAACUAAUAAAUCCCCCUCCCAUUCUUUUAUACUCCCUCCGUUUCACAAAAAUAAGUGAAUUAUUGGAGUAAUUUUAAUGUUUCAAAAUAAGUGAAUGAUUUACAAUUCAAGAUAGAUGUUGAAUUUCUUUUUCAAAUUUAUCCUUCAUUAAAUGUGCAUUGAAAAUGAUGUAUCAUGUGCCUUUAUUUUUUGAAUAAGGUAAAAAAUGAAAAAACAUGAUAAAUUUAUAUUUUUGCUUUUUUUUCUUAAUAUGUGUGUUAAAAUUUAACAAUUAAUUCAUUGUGGAACGGAGGAAGUAAUAUAAAGGGACCUUUUUAUUAUCCAAAAAAUAAAGAAUCAAUCCCUUUUACCCCUAAUGCAUGAUUUAAACCACAGACUAUUAUCUUAUGGGGUUUUCACUCUUUUAAUCAAAAUAUAAAUUUUUUUUUUCAAAAAAUAAAAAUCUCAAUCUAUCAUCUCAAGUGUCAUCUUUUAAAAAGUGACGAGACCUGACUUGAUUGAUUUGUUCUGUGUAUUAAAAUAAUUAAGCUGACUGACAUUUGUAGAUCGUGUUAAAUAAUGUACAAAAUAAUGAAUGUCGAUAUAUAAUUACAAAAAAAUAUAAACAACAAAUAAAAAAUAUAAUUAUCUUGAAAAAAUAUAUUAUGCUAUAAAUAAUUAAAAUUAUACCAUGUAGUAAAAAAUUACAGUGCUGUGUUGUGUACGUAUGUAAAUAUGUAAAAAAAAUUAAAAUAAUAAUAAACUGAUAAGAAUUUUAAAAUUAAUGAAAUUAAAGAUAAUUAUCAAUAAAUUAUGUAAAACUAAAAUAUGACAAUUAAUGAGUAAAAAAAUUCUAAAAUAAUAAUGAUUAUCAAUAAUUUAUUAACAAUUGUAAAAAAUAUGUGAAAAAUUGUAUAUUGUGUCAUUUAACGACCAGAGAGUCUAAAUGCGUUAAUUUAAGUAUAGAGAGCCUAAAUUGAGUAUCAACAUUAUGUAUUGGUUAUAUAAUUACUCAUCAAACACGCUAUGUGGGUCUUUUUACUGCUACAUCUCUCCAAUCGAUGCAUUGAAUCAUUGUUUCCUGUUUUCAUUUAAUUAAAAGCUAUAAAAACGUCUGUUCUCAAGAAAAACCGUUGGUAUACGCUAGGUAAGCCUUUUCUAUUCCCACACAUCGACUGACCAUUGGGUGGGAAUAUAAAAGACCACCUUCUAUAGAUCUAUAAAUACAGUGCUUAUUUCUAUGUAAGCCUUUAGUUAUCCCUAAACCUUGGAUAAUCACAUGUUAUGGGGUUGGUAAAAGAAAAUAAUUAAAUUUAAAAAGAUUUUAACAGAUAAUAACAUGUUUUGGGGCUGGUGAAAGAAAAUAAUUAAAUUAAAAAAGAUUUAAAUAAAUAAUCUUGAACUGUUGGUGACACUUAAUAGACUGCCAUCAAUGUUGACCCAUGUCAAAUUCACGUAAAAAUAUACUUAUUCUUUGAGGGUCCAUCGAUUCUUUUGAUCUAUCGUAGACUUACAUCGUUAGGAGUGCAUCGAUUGAUCUCCUGAUUAUUUGUAGACCACGGAGAUCUAUGUACACUGCUAUAGAUCAUCACUUGGAUGUUGUUCAAAAAUGAAUAAAUAAAUAAAAAGUAAAUGUAUUAUGAGUUUCUACACAUAUGAAGAAGUGUAAACAAGUUACGUAAUCAUAUUAGAGCUUAUACAAAUUAGAGAUGGUGAAUUAAGGAGUGUGUGAAUGGAUAGUGGUUGAACAAAAAAUAUCCUAAGAGUAAUGUUUGUCAAAGUACAAGUAUGUUUUGAGGAUGAUGAUUAUUCAACCACUAUUCAUUCCACAUACUCUUUUAAUUUGGGAGUGGUGAUUGAAGGAGUAUGUGGAAUGGGUAGUCAUCAAAUAGAAUCAACAUCCUCAAAACAUACUUGUCCUUUGACAAACAUUACUCUUAGGAUAUUGUUUGUUCAACCACUACCCAUUAACACACUCCUUAAUUCACAACCUCUAAUUUGUAUAAGCUCUAAUAUGAUUAUGUGACUUGUUUACACUCCUUCAUAUGUGCAGAAACUCAUAGUAUAUUUAUUUUUAAUUUAUUUAUUCAUUUUUAAACAAUAUCCAAGUAAUGGUCUUUACUAGUAUACAUAGAUCUACGUGAUUUACGAAUAAUCCAUAGAUCAAUCGAUGCUCUACCUAAAGUGUAGGUCUACGGUAGACCAAUUAAAUCGAUGUACCCUCAAAGCACAAGUAUAUUUUUUAUUGUAUUAUUUUCUUAAAACAUGUUAUUGAGGGUUCAUCGAUUACGAGUGUCUACGGUAGACUUUAGUAUCUCGUUGAUGACUGACAUAGGUCAUGAUCUACGAUUGUAAAUUAAGUGUCACCAAUAGUUACAAAAAACACAAUUAUUAUUUCAACGGUAACAAAUGGCCAGUUUUGUACUCCUUCAGUGUUAACACAUCUUUUUACUUCAUAUAUAAUGUCCUUCAUUCCUCAUUAUUUUAUUGCAUUCACUUUAUUUUUAUUUUAAAAUUCUACAAUGUCUCAAGCAUCUCAAACAUCCGAUUCUAAAAAGACUUUAAUUAGUCAUUGUGGAAAUGCGGCUAUUUUGAGGACGUCACGCACAGACUCAAAUUCAGGUCGCAAAUUCUAUAAUUAUACAAUUGCGAAGGUGAGUCGUGUAUGCCUUUUUAUAUAGUUAAGUAAAUCGUUAUGUAAUUAUUAUUUUUUUCAAGGAUAAUGGCGCAUGCUCGUUUUUUAAAUGGCUUGAUGAGCUAUCACCUUCAAGCAAUCCAUCAACGUUGAGUUCGAGACUCGAGACGUCAAAUUUUUAUGGCUUGACAAAAUUUAAUGUAAUACCCUGCUGAUAAUGCUCAAAUUACACUCUUGAAUGGGUGUAAGCGAUCGUUGUCAAUAUAAAACCCAACUAGGUUGGGGUCGAAUCCCACAGGGAAUAAGGUGUGAACAUCAAUUUGUUUAUGAAAUACUUUACUGGUAGUUUAUCGUUUCCGAAAGUUGGGGAUUUAAAGUUCACAAUGUAUCAAUCUUCACUUUCUGAAUUUUUAGAGUUGUUAUGAAUAUAAAUGGGAAACCAGGGUUAUGAUCACCAAAGGUUUCGGGUAUUGACAGAUACUAGGUAAUGCUAAAGAACAUCGGAAUGAGUAGAACAACAGAAUAUCCCUGACUAUGAUACUAUCUGACUUAUCUCUCGACCUCACAAGACAAUUUAUUAUCUAAUUCUCUCGAACUUAGAUAAUUUAUCUAUAUCCAAUCGGAUGUUAUCUCAGGUAGAUUAAUCUAGUUACGGCAUUAAUCAUUAAAUAGAAGGUUGGUAGUUUCCGAGUCCCUAUUGAUAAUUCCCGUCCUCAAGUCUAUUUCUCCGUUAGAAGCAAAUAAAACAUAAGGCAUAAUCUAAUCUUUGCAACCACUAGAUUUCAGUUAAAACCACAGAAUUUUAAGAUGUUCUACUACUCUUUGAAUCCGUUAAACACUUAGCAUCAUAUCAAACCCUUAUCCUUGGAUCCCAUAACCCCGGCUAAUCAAAUUAGCCGCUCAUGAUUUAACGAAGGAAAUCACAAGUUGAAUUCAUGAUGAUAAUGAUAAACUUACGAAUAGAUGGAAAACAACGAAUAAUUUCUUAAAUUAAAUCCCAAGUUAGAAACCUAAGAAUAGUUGAUAAGAAAGAAACUAAAAAUAAUUGGAAAAAGAGAACAAUGUACGUGUUUCUUCCUUCAAAAUUCUUGUUUUGAAUAAUGAAAACUUCCCUCCCUUAAAAACCCUAAAAACUGCUAUUUAUACUAAAGCCUAAUUAAGGAAAUAAAAUAACAAAAUCACAGCUGGGAUCGGAUUUAGGUGAUGCCAUAUUGGUGUUGGUUGUCAGGCUUCUGAUGACGUCUCAUAUAUGUUGUCAGAAGUCAUGCCAUCUUGACCUAUUCUGCCUCACUCUGAUGAUGUCCUAUGAAGGCUUACCACACUUGUGACGGCGUGUAACAAAUGUCGUCAGACCUUCAGCUUAUUUCACCAUGUUCUGCCUCACUCUGACGGCAUAUUCUGAUGGCUUAUCACACUUGUGACGACAUAUUGAGAAUGUCGUCACUCUCAUCCAGCAACUCUACUCCACUGUUCUUCCUGACGGCUUUUUCUGGUAGCUUACCACAUCUCUGACAGCUUGCAAGAAAUGCCGUCAUACUCAUAUCAGCUCACUUGUACUAGAUUUUACUUAUUUUGUUCAUCUUUUCUAUAUUUUCCUCCCAUUCUUGCUACAACUACAAUAUCACAAGAAAACGAUAAAAAACAACCAAAAAUUGCUUAAGACUUCGUAAUUAUUUAGAGUUAAAAGCCUCAAAUGUGUUAGCAUUUGCUCACACAUCAACACCCUCAACUUAAAACAAUUGCUUGUCCUCAAGCAACGAAAACACAACUAAGAGAAUACAACGAACAUUCAACAGUCAACAACCAAUUCUUAGCUCAAAACUCAAUUUACCACUUCCAAGGUCAACCAACUCAAACUACUGUGCAAUUUAUUGAAAAGCAACAAUGUAACACAAAGGCUUCUACCCAUGGCAUCACUAAGUGCCAACAAUCAUGUAUGUAAUGUACACUACCCAAACAAGCAAGUAACUUAGCAAGAUACUAGUGUGCCCUCACAACAAAGAAACUCCCCUUUACUCUCAUUAUCAACAAUCAAGGUAUAAUCAUGGGGAUAAUCACAAAGACUCUCACACUCAGAAUGAAUUUCAACCAGUGUAUGCCAAAUACCAUAUGCUUGCCUUUAUCAUCAUUACCGAAGUGUCUAGACAGGUAAGCUAGGAUCACUAUAGAACUUUCUCAGGCUUGUAACGUAGGCUAGGGGCUGGUAUGGUAUUAAACGGCAUUUAGAGUGACUAACCCCCUUGGCUCUAACUUAUCUUGUGGGGUCAACUUAUUAACCUCGUUCUCUUUUUUUUUUAUUUUCUUGAUCACACUUUCAGGAUGGGUGCACUUCUUUUUAUUCCAACAAAUUUUCUUUUCUUGUUUUUUUCCACCAAAAUCCAACCUUUUAUUCUUUUUUUUGAUUCUUUCUCUUCUAUUCUAUCCUUCUCCAUACCUAACUUAUAUCACGCACCCCUAUGAUAACCACCCUCAACUUAGGCUAUUUGCCUAUAUUGAGAUGCACAAUGUCCAAGGAGGAUCAGGGCCAAAACAGGUUCAUUAUGAUUUAAAAAGGGAAGGUGAUGGGUUUCAUAGAAUGAAAAUGGUCAAUUUAGGCUCAAACGGGGAUCAAGGGAUAUAAUGUAGUACAUGGAAGGUCAUUUAGGCUAAAAGUGGCUUAAAUUCAAAAACGGCCUAUGAUCCUUUCCUAACCCCUAUCUCUCAACCAAGACAAAAUGAACUAGGCAAGUUUUAGAUUCAGCAAUACCACAGGGAACACAGUAAGAUCUCACACACACUUGGCACACAAGCAUUUCACUAACUACUACUUAUCUGGUUCAUGCAGUUAUUCAGCUGUGAUUGUUAAGCACAAAACUAAUGCCCUAACCAGAUGCUCAAUAGUCAUAAUUUGAGGCAAUUCACACAGUCAUGCAAAACAAACCUUUAGAGAGGUGUUCAAAAUAAAUAAAAAAAAUUAGUUGAGUACCUACAGAACUUGAACUACUCCUAGUUAUUUGUAGAAUAUGCUACAACAACAUGCUACCCUACACCCUCAACUUAAAAUCAAAACAAAAUGAAACUAAGGGUUUAGGGUGUACCUGGUAGAGAUCAAGUACGGGGAUCAUGGGGUUUUACCCCCACAUCAGUAUCUCCAGUUGGGACACUUAUAUCUGGAGCCUGCUGCUGCGCUGGCUUAGCUACUACUGCAUCUGAAGGAGGUGCACUGGAUGAGGAUCCUAUGGAUCUAGCUCGGAGUGCCCCCUCCCUUCUCAAGUGGUCCUCUAGGGACGCUUGUAUUGCCCGUUUUGCGUUCGCUUUGUCAAUGGCUGCUACCUCAUCACUUGCUUGCGUCGUCUCUUCUGCUCCUAUUUUCUGAGCCUUCUUCUUCUUCUUUGCCUUUUUCUCAGCUUUGCCCUCAUUCUCAUCAUCUCCUUCUCUCUUUCUCUUUCCUUUUCUCUUUUCAUCUUUCUUUUCUUUGUUUUUCUUCUUCUGGACAGGCUCCUCAGUAAGAUCAAGCAACUCUAAUUCACCUUUGGGCUCCUCAACCACAUCUUCUAUUACUGUAAUGCACUGAAGCUGUCUAAUCACUCCAAACUCUGUCUUCAUCUGCUUAAACUCAGAUCUAAACUGUUUAAGCUAUGUAAUCGACAUUUAUCUUUCUCGCAUAUCAAACCGAUUCUCCAAGUCAGAAAACCUAGCAGGCAAGGACUCAUAAGGCUCAAGUGCAGCCUUGAUUCUCUUAUCUACUGCAGUUGCAAACUGCUUGGCAAACUGUUUCAGCUGAGCCUCGCACCAUUGAGUUUGUCUAGAAAUUUUUCUGAAGGUUGACAAGUUGAAAGCAAGUCCUGCUGGUGCUGCAGAAGCUGAUGGAGCUGACUCAGUUGCAGGCACUGAACCUGCCUGUGCUGAAGGUGGUGGUGGUACUGCUGCUGCCUCAAGAUCUUGUGCCUCCAUAGUAGGCACUGAACUAGAAUCUGGAAUAGGAGGCUCAACUGCUACCUCUGAUCCCCUCUCAAGCCUCAAUGCAGGUAGAUUUUCCUCACUUUUGAUCGGGUUGUGAGUCUUUCUAGCAGCAAUAUACUCAUCUACACCUGCGAUCUUGGGCACAUUUGCUGCUCUACAUAGCUUAGUGAUCAGACACGUGAAUGGAUAUACAGUGUUAGGCCUAGACACCCGAAUCUUUAUUUCCUUAGCAAUAAUUUCACCAAAAUCCAGGGAUAUCCCAGUCACUAGACUAGCAACUAGUACGACCCUAUUAUCUCCUAGUAUAUAUUAUCAUUUUCUGUAGGGAUCAAGUGCGUGCGCACUACGCCCCACUAGAACUUUGCCUCAGGUGUCAGAGAAGCUUUGUAGAUUUUUUUAUUCGGGUUGGUCAACCAAAUAGGCUCUCCCUCCGCUAUGUGAGUAGCCAACCAUCUAUGCUGAUUCGCCUUAUCUUUCAAACGGGCAUAGAAUGUGGGUGAAGUAUCCUGAACAUUAAAGUUCGACCCAUGAAGAAACUGGUUGAUUGUUGAGUCUGAGAUACUCACUAUCACUCCCGUCACUGUAAUUUUCUCUAUUAAUGUUAUGUUUGAUAUUCUCUCACCUUUCUUGCAUCUGUUUUCCAGGUCCGCUUGGUAGUUUGCAUAAAACUCCCAUACUACUGUUGGACUGUAUAAAUCUCCUGUUCUGGUAGUCCACUCUAGGCCAUAAUCUUGGAACUUUUUUAUCACCUCCGGGUAGUUGAUCAACCCUUUGGUAAUGAUUUGUUUUUCUUCAAAGAUAGGUCUCCAAACAGGUCUCCGCUGAGUUCUACGCAGACCAUCAAGAUAUAGCCUCUCAGCUCCUAGAAUGAGCCAUCUGACAUUAUCUUUAACCUCCAGGUUUUUGCAUCUCACUACAGCUCUCUAAAUUGGAGAAUCAUUAUCACUUUGCUUUUCUGAGGAUGGUGGUACUGAUUCUAUCUCGUCAGACCCCAGCUCUUCAGAUCCAGCCUUCUUAGACUCAGGCUGUUCGGACUCGGUUUGCUUGGAACUCUCUUGCUCAGAGGACUCAUUCUCAGGUGGGGUAGUAGUUUCAGUAUCAUCACUAUCCUCCACCUAAACAGGUUUAGGUGGAAAAAAUGCCUUUGGGCUUGGUUUCUUUCUCUUCCACCUGAGAAGUGGUUCUUCAUCUUCAUAGUCGGAGUCCUCAUUAAUAAGCUUCCGAACUACUUUUGGCUUCGCCACUUUCUUUGGAGUGUUAGGACUCUUUCUCUUGGGUGUUAUUUUUAUCCCAGCAGCAAGUUAGAUUCAAUUUUCAGUGUUCUAAAUCAUAUAAAUAAACAAGAUGCAUCAGUGGUUUCUUAGAAUCCCUGAAAAGGGUUCAAUUCAGUUUUAGUUCAGAGGCUUGUCAGCAUCUCUGGUAAGUCUUCGUAUUUCUAAAAUCUUACCAUAGACGUCGUCAGCCUCAAGCAGUGACUACUGAAAUUUCUCAACUUUUGAUGACAUUGUCUGGUAAGACGACACACCUAUGACGACGUAUCAGAUAUGUUGUCAGACCUUAACAGAACCUCAUCUUUUUUCCUUUAACGUAUGAUGACAUUUGUGGUAAGCCAUCACAGAUGUGGCGUCUACCAUAAAUGUCGUCAGCUCAUAACACAAUCCUUCAACUCUCUUUUUCAUUAUUUUUUUGACUUCAAUUUCGACUUGAUUUUAACUUAAUUGAGUUCUUGAGCUGCUCUUUAGAUCUUCUUCAGUUAGAACCCAGCAAAACCCUAGAUUCAAAGUAGCUUGUAGUUCUUUAAUCCGCUUAAGCUUCUUUGAACCAAGGUUGAACUUCUCCUGUUAUACAUACCCAAAAGAAAGAAAAGUUUAAAGCAUCGAGCAUACCUGAUUGUCGACUUGCACACUUCCUUAACAAUGGAGCUUAGUUCGUAUGCAGUGUGAGCUUGAGGUAAGAGAAUGUGGAUGAGAUAAGAAAGUUGGUCACUUUGCUUUCAAUCCAAUCUCUCAAGGGAAAGUUUUUUUUUCUUAGUUGUGAUCAAGUUGGAGAAGGAAGGAAGAUAUUAUGUAUUCUAGCUAAGGAAGGAAAUAACUAAACAUGGAAACCAAAUAAACUACCGGGAAGGUGAAAAUUUUAAGCCUGGGCCGAGUCGGAUCCAACUUAACAUCUGGGCCCGUAAUACCUGACAACAUAGAAAAAUGCCGUCAGAGUUAUGGUAACCCAUGAGGCAAUCUCGUCAGGGUUAGGUAGACACUUCUUCAUACUAGACCUCUCUGACGUCAUUUUUUGGUAAGCCAUCACAUAUGUGACAUCUUACCAUAAAGGUCGUUAGGGUCCUUUUUAGCAGAUAAUCUUGAUUUCACCUUCCAGGUAUUAAAAGCCUAACUAUAAGAAUAAAAACUAACCUAAAAAUGAAUGAAAAUAAAAUUUUGGGUUGCUUCCCACUAGCGCCUGAUUUAAUGUCGUGGCACAACUCAGUUAUCUUGGCUACUCAGACUUCGCCAAGACAUCAUACCAAUACCUUUUGUCAUCUACAUAGAAUACAUCCAUGACUGCGAAUAUACUCAUCUCUUUUUGAUUCACUGUGGAUGAGUGCAUUUUAAACUUUGCUUUAUUUUUGCCAACUCAAAACUUGAGCUCAUUGAGCUCCAAAUCAACUAGCACUCUCCCUGUGGCCAAUAAUGGUCUUCCCAGAAUAAUAGGUACCUCAAAAUCAACAUCACAAUCUAGAACCACAAAAUCUGCAAAGAGAAUGAAGUCGGCCACUUUCAUCAUCACGUCAUGUAGAAUACCCAUAGGUCUUUUGAUUGACCUAUCUGCUAUCACGAGUCAUAUAUUUAUAGGAGUAGGUGCCCCUACAUCAAGCCUUUUAUAGAUGGCCAGCGACAUCAAAUUAAUACUUGCGCCAAGGUCACACAAAGCUUUCUCAAAUUUCACGGGUCCUACUGUGCACAAAAUAGUGAAAGCACCAGGAUCAGGUUUUUUCUAUACUAAGGACUGUGAUGAAACAACACUACAGUGGUGGAGAUUGUCACCGUCUCACAGCUUACUUUCUUCUACUUCAUUGGCAGAUCCUACAUAAAUUUAGCAUAGCUCGGUAUUUGCUCAAGUGCCUCCAUCAAUGGCACCAUCAUUGUCAGUUGUUUCAUUAUUGGCAUGAACUUGAUAAAUUUUUCAUUAUCUUCUUUCUUCUUUAACCUCUGCAGAAAUGGAGGUUGUGGUCUUGGCAUUUGUUUCCAUACCACUUUCUCUUUCUUGUCGUCUUCUUUCUCUGACAUGUCAAUAAAGCCAUCCACCUUCUCAGACUCCAUUAGAUUUCUUUCUUCUGAUUCAUUAAUACUUACCUCCUACUCCAUGGCUUUGCCUAUAGAAGGGCCAGAUAAUAUCUUACCACUCUGAGUGGUAAUCGCCAAACAAGAGCCAUCAGUCCGUGGGUUUUGAACCGUAUCACUAGGUAAAGUGCCCACUUUUCUCUGGUUCAGAGUAACCGAAAGUUGGCUCAUCUAUUGUUCCAACCGCUUAAUAGAAGCAGAGUGUGAGCUAACUAACUUACUGAGGGUAGAAAACUCACUUUUCAUAUUAGUUACCCCUAAGUUAGUAGCUUCAACUCCCUUCAACAACUUUUUCAUCAUGUCCUCCAUGGACAUCUUACUAGAACUAGUAGAUGCAGCAUCCCGACUUCCAGGAGGAAUAUAUGAACCAAUCCUAUUAUUAUUGUUUCUCUAAUGUCCCUGAUCCCUAUCUUUAUAAUCAAGCUUGUCAUAGAAAGUCCAACUUUGGUUCCCUUGGCUAUUGCCUCAGAAACCCCCCUGAUUACUCAUAUAGUUGGCCUCAGCAUCAGCACCUGCAGAUACGGUACCUUGAGCAUCAACAACCUUAAUCAUUUUAGUCUUUCCGGAUAGAAAAUGCUUAGCCAGUAAGUCUAUCUGCGUCUUUAAGUGGGCCAUAUCCUGAUCUCGCUCCUCAUCCCUUUUCGCUGUUCUGCAGUAAUACCACCAGCAAUCGUAGGGCUAGCCACUACAGAAUCCCUAGUGUACCAAGCUCAACUUUUCUUGGUCAUUCUAUUUAGCAUGUCAGAAACAUCCAAAAAAGAGAGGUCAAUGAAUGAACCACCUGCAGCAUUGUCGACUAUUGGAUUUGUCACAGAGUUGAAAGCUCUGUACAAGGUCUCCAUCAAAUGCAAGUCUGUCAUAUUAUGGUUCGGACAUUGUGCAAGUUUCUUCUUAAAUCUUUCCCAAGUCUCGCACAGUGCUUCAGUUGGAAGCUAUAUGAAGUUGCUGAUCUCGUCCCUCAACUGUACCCUUCUGGAGAGUGGAAAGAUCCAUUCUAGGAAUGCAUCUUUCAACUGUCUACAGUUGGUUACAGAAUCAGGCUCUAACUUAUUCAACCACAUUGUUGCCUUUCCAGACAGAGACAAUGGAAACAACCUCAAUCUGAUUGCAUUCUGACUUACUCCCGGAUUGUCAAAGGAUUUGUAGAUGGUGAUAAAGUUCACCAAAUACAUGUUAGGAUCAUCACCAAGAAAGCCUCCAAAUAACCCCUUCAAAUUCAGGAGUUGGAUCAUGGUACUUGUUAUGCUGAACUUUGCACCUUGUGCCAACGAUGGCGGGAUGAUAGCACCCAUUGCACCAGCUCCGUCCAUUCAUUCAUCAUCAUUAUUAGCCUCAUAGUGCAUAGGCUGUUGACUAUAUCUACCUCGAGUUGGAUGAUUUCUAUUGACGUUUCGCCGCACUAGUGCAACAACUUGCUCCGCUCUCCUUGGGUUUUGAGGAUUCAGUAAUUCCUCAUCACCCAAGUCCUCAUCAUCAGGGUUUUGGUGAUGUGCUUGUUGACUAAAUUUUUCACAUUCACCUGAGCCCUGGCUAAAGCAGCUAAUCUUUCUGCUUCUUGUUGUUCAACUAUUUUUCCAAUUAGUUGAGGUUCCGGGUUGAUUGGUAAUAGUGGUGCACUGAAAAUUCUCAUUUUUGGCAUAAACAACACAGUACAUACAAUAAACAAAAAUAACAAAUAAACGUAAAUCAAGGAAACUUAACUAUCAGCAAAUUUUUUCGCACACAAUUUUCAGUCUACAACCGUAUUCCCCGACAAUGGCACCAUUUUUGAUACUGCUCAAAUUACACUCUUGAAUGGGUGUAAGCAAUCGUUGUCAAUAUAAAACCCAACUAGGUUGGGGUCGAAUCCCACAGGGAAUAGGGUAUGAACGUCAAUUUGUUUAUGAAAUACUUUACUGGUAGUUUAUCGUUUUUGAAAGUUGGGGGUUUAAAGUUCACAAUGUAUCAAUCUUCACUUUCUGAAUUUUUAGAGUUGUUAUCAAUAUAAAUGGGAAACCAGGGUUAUGAUCACCAAAGGUUUCGGGUAUUGACAGAUACCAGGUAAUGCUAGAGAUCCUCAGAAUAAGUAGAACAACAGAAUAUCCCUGACUAUGAUACUAUCUGACUUAUCUCUCGACCUCACCAGACAAUUUAUUAUCUAAUUCUCUCAAACUUAGAUAAUUUAUCUAUAUCCAAUCGGAUGUUAUCUCAGGUAGAUUAAUCCAGUUACGACAUCUCAUUAAAUAGAAGGUUGGUAGCUUCCGAGUCCCUGUUGAUAAUUCCCGUCCUCUAGUCUAUUUCUCCAUUAGAAGCAAAUAAAACCUAAGGCAUAAUCUAAUUUUUGCAACCACUAGAUUUCAGUUAAAACCACAGAAUUUAAGAUGUUCUACUACUUUUUGAAUUCGUUAAACACUUAGCAUCAUAUCAAACCCUUAUCCUUGGAUCCCAUAACCCCGACUAAUGAAAUUAGCCGCUCAUGAUUUAACGAAGGAAAUCACAAGUUGAAUUCAUGAUGAUAAUGAUAAACUUACGUAUAGAUGGAAAACAACGAAUAAUUUCUUCAAUUAAAUCCCAAGUUAUAAACCCAAGAAUAGUUGAUAAGAAAAAAACUAAAAAUAAUUGGCCAAAGAGAACAAUGUACGUGUUUCUCCCUUCAAAAUUCUUGUUUUGAAUAAUGAAAACUUCCCUUCUUUAAACACCGUAAAAACUACUAUUUAUACUAAAGCCUAAGUAAGGAAAUAAAAUAACAAAAUCACAGCUGGGCUCGGAUUUAGGUGACGCUAUAUUGGUGUUGGUCGUUAGGCUUCUGACGGCGUCUCAGAUAUGUCGUCAGAAGUCAUGCCAUCUUGACCUGUUCUGCCUCACUCUGACGAUGUCCUAUGACGGCUUACCAUACUUGUGACGGCAUGUAUCAAAUGUCGUCAGACCUUCAGCUUAUUUCACCAUGUUCUGCCUUACUCUGACGGUAUAUUUUGACAACUUACCACACUUGUGAUGACAUAUUGAGAAUUUAGUCACUCUUGUUCAGCAACUCUUCUCCACUGUUCUUCCUGAUGCCUUUUUUGGUAGCUUACCAUAUCUCUGACGGCUUGCAAGAAAUGCCGUCAGACUCAUAUUAGCUCACUUGUACUAGAUUUUCUUAUUUUGUUCAUCUUUUUUUUUUUUCCUCCCAUCCUUGCUACAACUACAAUAUCAUAAGAAAACGAUCAAAAACAACCAAAAGUUGCUUAAAACUUCGCAAUUAAUUAGAGUUAAAAGCUUCAAAUGUGUUAGCAUCUGCACACACAUCACCUAUACUUUCCUAAUUCAGAUCAGCCCCUAGAAUGUGCCCAUAGCACUUAGAACCUAAAAAUAAAGUUAAGUGUUGAAGGAUUUAGUCACUUUCGACUCCUUUAAACUUUGAGAAUUUUUAAGUUGACCUUCCAGGCCCUGAGACAACGAUUUUUGAGUUGAAGUAUAUUCAGGGGUGUAAAUAGCAUGUCUAGGGCAAGUUUUGGAAUUUUUGGACUUGGAUUGGAAUUUCUGCAGCUCACUGCGAUCCAUCGUGUCAUAGUGAGUAUGGUGUCAAGAGGUCCACCGCAUCGUGGUGGAGUGUAAAAAAUCAUUUGUCAAUUUCCAGUGAGUCACCGCGAUUCCACUGCACCGCGGUGGUUAUCAUGAUGACUCGUUUGGCGCGUCACGGUGAGGUCGUGAUCGACAUUCCAAUUGUGGGAUUUAAAUCUCCAAGCGUAGUUUAGUCUUUUCCUAAUUCCCCAAGUCAUGAAAAAUAGAAGAUUAAACCUAUUUUAAGCAUAUUAUACUUAUUUUUUACCAAAUUGGUCUCAAAGAAAACCCUAGAGCUUCAACUUUAAACUUCAAGAAAUCCAAAAUUCACCGUUUCUUUUCCAAGAUAACCAAAUUUAAGAUCUUCAAGAAACUAUCUUCAAGAACACAAAUAGGAAUUCAAAGUCAAGUGUCUUCAUCAAUUUAGUCAAUUAAGGUAUGUGGGGUUAUGAACAAGGAUACUCCUUUCAUCCUUGUGCCCAAAACUAGUUUUUAAAGUUGAAUUUACAUGAUUUACAAUUUAGGGUUCAUACCCAAUUAUCAUUAUUUGAAGAUUAUGAUGUUAUAAGUGAUUUAAAUAUUGAAUUGCAUCUCUAUUUUGUAUGUUAUGCGUGUGACAUGAUUGUAUAUAUAAACAUUGAGAAUUGAAUUUUCAGUAUUUUGACUAGAAUUAUUACAGAAUUUCAAGAUUUUGAUUAUUGAGCAUGACUUGGUGAUAAUUUCACAUGAGUUUAAAGCAAGGGUAAUUAAUUCCUAGUUUGAGUAUUGAUAUUUCAAGAAGAUAAUGCUUUUAAGCACCUGUGAUUAGUUCAUAGUCAAAUUUUGAGAAAAGAUUUGAUCUUUUGAUCCUCAGCUUAGAUAUGGAAUCCACAUUAUAAUUUUAUUACAGUUUACAGUAAAUAGAUGCAGAACUAGUUUUUAUUAUAAAUCCAUAUGCUAGUUUUAAAGGGAAUUUCCUACAGAUUGAGCAUAUAGAUUAAAGGGAGUAGUAUUUAGCACAGAGCGAGAAGUGUGGGUUUAGUGCAUCCUACUUUCCGAGAAUUACGAGCCAACGUAGGCACAGAUUCAGAUUAUAUUCCAUUUGUAUAUGGAUACAGAUACAGAUUGUGAUCACCUAGCUUAGGUUAUACUCCUUGACAAGAUUAUGAAACCUCUCCCCAAUGUGAGGUUUUUCCCUUAGGUGAACUAGAUGUUGGACUCUAUGAUAGCUCACAUGGUUUAUGUCAGUUAGAAGAACCUCCAUAACAUCAAAAUCUUAUAGAAAAACUUUAGAAUUUAAGUGUGAAGGCUCACAGUUUCAUUUAGAUAUUAUUUUACAUCAGAUAUUAGUCAUGAGAUUUCAACUUUCAAUUUACAGAUAUAAAAGUGAGUCCUUUCUACACUUAGAUGCAUGAUUUAAAGAUAGAAUACAAGUACAACUUUUAAAACUAAAUGUAAUGGCUCACAAGACUUACACAGUAUGCUUUAUCAUUUAUGAUUUAUGAUUUUAGCUUUUAGUUAUUCAGGCCAGUGUGAGUCAUUACACUUAGUAUGGAUUCUUUCAUAAUUUUUUAUGAACAUUGAGAUAUUGUCUUACUAAUGUAUUCACCCCCACUUGCUUAGUACACUCCAAAAGUACAGAUCCAUAUAUAUUUUUAUAUGCUACAUUAUUUAAUAAUGUAGGCUCAGGUGCUCAGUUCCAGCAGCAUGAUCGACCAUGAGCAUCUCUAUCUAUAUCCCGACAGUUGGUGAGUCCUCAUAGCUUGGGGACCCAGUUAUUCAAACUUUCAGUUUGUUAAAGUAGCCUGUUAAGUUAUUUUCAGUUAGAUUGAGUUAGCUAAGGGUCUGUCCCAGGGACUCUCUAGUUGUUAGUAGUAGAGGCUUGUCAGAGUACUACUUAUAACUCAGAUUUCUAGUGUUGACUGUCCAGACUUUUAAGUCAAGUAUUCUCAGAUAUUAUGCUCAGUUAAUUCCUGUCUUGAUAAGACAUAAUUCAGCAUUCCAGCAUUGAUUAUAUGUUUAUAUUUCUCUAUUAUGAGUUUCAGAUUUAGUAGAAGGCUUGCAGGGUUAACUUGAAACUACUCGUAGUCUUGAGCACCGUGUGAUGUCUCGGGACCCACUUUCGGGGCGUUACAUUUAAUCUACUACAAAGGAUCCAAGAAUGCAAAAAAAAUUAGAAAUUUUCUCAUGACUUUGUUCAAAGAAGCCGAAGAGCAGAGGGAUAAUUCUAAAGUAUUUCUACAUUACACCCAAAAAGAGAGGGAUAAACUAAAACAUAAAUUGGUUUUGGUCGAAGAAAGGGAGAAUAACCUAAAAUGAUGUUAUGUGCUAUAAUGCUAGUAUUCCUUUUUUAGGAAAAGUGUAACAUGGAUGUAGUGAUAUUGAAUAAAUAAAAAUACUUUUAUUUCCCUAUAAUGUUAAUACAGUUUUUCAUAGAAUCAUAGUUGAUCAAACAACACAUCAACUUAAAAUCGAGUAGCAUGGUAAUAUAGACUAUGCAAACAGUAUAUGAAAAAUUAAAUAUGUAUUCUGUGAUGUCAACUAUACACUAUACCAAUUAUGACAACACAAUGCAUUUCAAAUUCCAUGCAACAAUACAGUUUGAUAAAAGCAGAUUCAGCACAGAAUCAUAACAACUUUCAUAAAAUAAAAGAAUGUUUGUCAUAUCCUACCAACAGAUCAUUCAACUCUUAUAUUUGUGAAAUAAAAAAUAAAAUGGUCAUAUCCUAACAAUUGAUCAUUGAACACAUUAUCAAUAGUAGCAUUUAAAUGUCAUUUUCCCUAUUUUCCUCAUCAACACAAAUGUCAUUGUUGAUUUCAAUAACGAUAUCCAUGACCUUAUUUUUUUUUCACUUCUUUUUUUUCUUAUUUCCGUUUAUCUUUUCUAACUUCUUCUUCUUCUUUAUCUGCUGCUUCUUCCCUUCCAUCUUCAACUUCAUCUCAUUUUUUUUAGUGUCUGCAGUUGCUGCUUCUUUCUCACCUUGUUCUGCUUUUUUUUUUCAACAUCUGCAACAACUGCUGCUUCUUUUCAGCUUCCUUUUCUUCUUCUUCAUCUUCUUAUUUUUCUUCACCUGCUGCUUCUUUCUUAGCUUCUUCUUCUUCUUCUUCUUCUUGUUCUUCAUCAGUUGUUGCUACUUUUUUUUCAGCUUCUUUUUUCUUCUUCUUCAUCUGCUACUACUUCUUGUUCUUGUUCUUCUACAACUGCUUCUUUUCUAGUUUCUUCUUGGCUCUUAUCUUCUUCUAUUUCUUCUUCUUCUUCUUGUUCAUCCUUCUUUUCUUUUUUUUCCUCUUCUGCCACAACAGUGGCCAACUCAUCUAUUUUGCUCUUUUUUUCUCCUUCUUCAUUCCUCUUUGAUUCACGAAGGUCCACAUACACUGUAUCAUAAUAUUAAAAAGUGUUACUAAUAGAUAAAGCUGAGAAUACAUUAACUAUAUCAAUUAUUAAAUGAAGUUACCUCGCUCAUGUUGUUGCUCAUCCUUUUUCUUUUUCUUUAGUCUUUUCUCUUUGAUAUAGGCAACAAUAUCCAACAUCGAUUCCUCGAGCAUAGUAAUACUCUUAUGAAGAUCCCCAUCGAUAGAGGUGCUCGCUACACCUUUUGAGGUGCUCGGAGAAGCAUUAUCACCAAUACGUACUCCAAUGGGGUUACCACCCAAAUCCCCAUUAUCAUCACUGUCCUUAUUUAAAGUAAGAACAGUCACCUUUUGUAAAUAUUUCUUCAAGACAUCGAGGACGUUAUUCUUCACCUUGUCUGUAUAUGGCUUAAACGUAACCAUGUAAUCUAUCUCCGUCUCACGAAUAGUAGGGAUGAUGUACAGGUGCACGUUCUAUAAAAAAUCAAUUAAUAAUUACAUAACAUUCGAUACAACAGUAGUAUUAUUGCAUAAUAAAAAAUAAGUUCAUACCUCGGUAACUUUUCCUUUAUACUUGAAUGAGUCUCCUUCGAUUAUCUUGUCACUUUUUGUAGUGUGCCAUCUGAGGAUGCGGGGAAUGGGAAAGGGUUCAUCCAUUAAUUUUUUAGCAAAUUUUUCAAGAUAAGGAAAGGCCUCAUAGAUCCAAAUCUGUAAGCAGUACAAUAGUGAAAAAAUGACUAAGAGUCUAUGACAGAGUAUAAAUAAAACAAGAAUCUAUGAUCAUCUCACUAAAAGGUUGAUGGUAGAUACUAUGAAUGUCCAGGGAAAUUCGAAUAGAGAAUAGGAUGCCUUUUACUUCUCAUCAAAUACUUCUCUCGGCUUCUUCAGGUCACUUUUCUUCUUUAGAUAGUCCAUGGUCAGUUGAAAUGUCUCUUUCCCCCAUGGAUAACUUUCAAAGAAACUCAAAGAAUCGACCAUUCAAAUUAGUUUUGUGUCGACAACCUUCGUCAAAUCUUUUGCAAGCAACAUUGCAAGAACCACUGUAAACAACAUUUAAACUUUUGCUCCUCGUUCAGCUUAUUUUCUCAGAUCAAGUUAAUAAGUUGGCCACCAUAAUAUUUUUUUUCGUCACCUUAAAACAAAAAUGCUCCUCCUUGUCUAAUACCUUCCUUAUUUUUGAUUUACUGGGGUAUGAUGAGCAGUUCAGCCCCGCGAUCAAGCAAAACUCUUUCAAGCCAAAACAAAUAGGCUUGUUGUUCACACUGAACCACAUCUCAUGACGAAUCUUAUCAUUCUUGAUGCAUCACAAUAGAAAAUAAUGGACCAACUGCCCAUUGAAUUUGAGAUGUUCCGACAGGUUUCUCAAGUGUCCAAAACUGGACCGCUUGAAUCUUUUCUUCAAGUCCCGGUCGACAAAAACUUUCUUAAAUUCUCAAUAAGCAUCCAUUCUUAAUCUGACCAAUAUCUUUACCGAAAAAGAUCCAACCUCGUCUAUUAUCAUUCGAAGGUCAUACCACUCUAUGAAAAUGAACCUUGAACAAGAUGGAACAGAGAAGGGAUCAUUAUCCCCAUUAGCACUGUUUCUUUCACUCCCUCGCUCUCUUUACUGUCACCACUAGCACUACACUAGGUAACAUCUUCACUGGAAUCGACGUAUCUACUUAUCUCUUUUAACUUUGAAUCUGAUUCGGGCACUGCCUCUUCAAUUUUCUUUUUUUUUGAGACAUUUUCAGCUGCCUCGGUUUUUCUUUAUCUACUGCUACCAGAAAAAUCAGAUGCAGUACCAGCUUUGUAUUUAGCAAUGGGUCUUUUUUAAUCAUUUUCAACAAAAUCUACACCUACAGAAUAAAUUUGCCAUUUUCAGUUCAUAGACCACAAGUCUGUUCACAGAAACUACUCAAUGCUUAAAUAAAAAAUCUAAAAAAACUAAAACAUACCCCACCAUUAAAAAGUUCACCAAAUAAAAAUACCAUAAUUGAACCAAAUUCCAACAUGCAGUAUCAAAACUCAACUAUUGCUGUAAAUCAAACUAAUUAGCUAUUAAUCAUUCAAUUUUCACUAUUUCAGCAAUCAUAUUUUAAAAGAAUUUUAUAAGUCUAAAAAUUGAUUUCAAUCUAGCGCAUUCUCAUUUCAUAGACCACAAGUCUACGGACAAAAAUAGGUUACUGUUUGAAUCAAAUCACCAAAAUAACUUAUAAAAUAACAAUUAUCCCACCAUUCAAUACUUCAUUGCCAAAAAGGCAAGAACUAAACCAAAACUCCUUAAAUAGAAUUUCAAAAUUCAACACCGUGAUCGACGAAAAAAUCUGUAAAAGCUAUCGAAUCAAACCCCAAUAAUUGCUUUGGGAUCAAACUAAUUACCUAUAAAAUUCUCAUAGUUUAACUACUUAAUCAACCAAAUUCGAAAAAAAAUUCCUACAUCAUUACGAAUUAAUUAGCAGUGAAACCUGUUUAAAUGGAUUUAAAAUAAUUGAAACUUGAUUUUAACUAACCUUACAAAGCAACAACGAGAUCUUAGCAUCUGGAGAAGAAGGAAAAUAAAAAUGUUAUUUUGGGAGGAGCUUGUUGGGAAUAGCAGGAGUUAAGAGAAUUGAAGAGAGGAGAGAAAGUUUUUUUUGAUAUUAGAAGAAGUUGAGUGUGUUAGGUGUAUUAUAUUAAAUUUUCAAAAUUUUAAAAAUGAUGAAAUGGUCCCUUGGCCAUGGGUGGGCCCCACUUUUUUAACCCUAACCCUAAAAAUUAAAUGAAAAAGAGUUCGAACAGAGAGGAAUAAUUUUUAUUAUAUCAACAAGAGUACAAUAGAGAGAUUACGAAAUUAGAGUAGUCACUCUAAUUAUCCCAAAUAUGCCAAGAGAAUAACCUCACAAGAUCACUCCAAAAUAAAGGGCUCAUAAAAGUGUUUCCCGACACCCACUCUCUAACUAAAUACUCUAAUAGAAAGGAAGAAAUACAAGAGAAUGAAAGAAAGCUCUUGAAAUUGAUGUGUUACAAAUGAGAAAGAAGGUCCCUAUUUAUAAAGAUGAAAAUGGGCUUGUUGAUGUCAUCCAUGAUGAAAAUAGAAGAUGUAAAUUUGAAUAUUUGCAUGUGAAUGAGAGAAAUUUACAAUAAAAUCUUUGGUAGCAAGUUUGUCUGACAAAACCAAAAAAUAAUCUUCCAAAAGUCUUUGGUAAGCUUUUACCAAGUGUGAACCAAAGAAAAACCAAAGGCCACAUUACAAAUCUUUACCUUGGCUUGAGUUUUGUUAAUAUCGUAAAUUUUCUUCCUCUCCAAAAAAUCCCAUAUGGGCAAAAUCAUUCUUCAGAAACGGCAAUCAAGUUCAAGCAAAGCUUGAACUUACUAACCGGAAGAGACUUUGUGAACAUGUCAGCAGGAUUAUCUCUAGUGUUGAUCUUCUGAAUAGAGACCUUUCUUUCAAUAAUAGAUUCCCGAAUAAAAUAAUACUUGAUGUUGAUAUGCUUCGUCCUCUCAUGAUACAUUUUAUCUUUAGUUAAGUGGAUGGCACUUUGGCUAUCACAUAAAAUAAUAAUACCACUUUGGUGUGGACUGAGUUCAGCAAAUAGACCCUUCAACCAUAAGGCUUCUUUGAUUGCCUCGGUCACUGCCAUAUAUUCUGCUUCAGUAGUAGAUAAAACUACUACGUGUUGUAAUGUAGCUUUCCAACUGAUAGCACAACCACCAAUGCAAAAUAUGUAGCCAGUCAGUGAUUUUUUUUUAUCAAAAUCACCUGCAUAAUCUGAGUCUAUAAAACCAACCAAAGUGUUAGUAUUUCUUACAAAUUCUAAACAUACGUUAGAAGUACCACACAAGUAUCUAAGAAUCCAUUUCACCGCCUGCCAAUGUACUUUUCCAGGAUAAUCCAUAUACCGACUUACCACACUUACUGCUUAUGAAAUAUCUGGACGUGUACAUACUAUUGCAUACAUAAUACUACCAACUAUACUAGAAUACGGUACCUAUGCCAUAUACCUCUCUUCUUCCUCUGACUGCGGUGAUUGAGCAGCUGAUAACUUAAAAUGAGCAAUAAGAGGAGUACUUAUUAGUUUAACUUCUUUUAUGCCAAACCUCUCCAAGACCUUCUCAAAGUACUUCUUCUAGGUCACGAAUAGUCUGUUGGAUUUUCUAUCUCUUUUGAUCUCCAUGCCAAGGAUUUUCUAAGCUGCUUCUAAAUCUUUCAUUUCAAAUUCACUUUUCAGUUGACUUUUCAAAUUGUGAAUUUCUGUCAAAUCCUUAGUAGAAAUGAGCAUGUUAUCAACAUAUAAUAGUAAGUAAAUGAAUGAACCAUCAUUUAACUUUCGAAAGUAAACACAACUAUCAUACAUUCUCCUUGAAUAACCAUGAAUAAACGUAAAGGAAUCAAACCUCUUGUACCAUUGUCUUGGAGAUUAUUUUAAUCCGUACAAGGAUUUCUUUAACAAGCAAACAUGAUCUUCCUUUCUUUCAAUUUUAAAUCCUUCAGGUUGAUGCAUGUAUAUUUGUUCCUCAAGUUCUCCAUGUAAGAAAGAUAUCUUAACAUCGAUCUGUUCUAAUUCAAAAUCAUGCAUGGAAACUAAGGCAAACAAGAUAAAAAUAGAGCUAUGUUUAACAACAGGUGAGCAAAUAUCAUUAAAAUCAACUCCUUGUACCUGACUAUAGCCCUUUGCAACUAAUCGUGCCUUAGACCUUACAUCUUCAACCCCUAGAAUCCCAUCUUUUUCUUGAAGACCCAUUUGAAACUAAUGAUUCUACUUACUAACGACGGCUUCACAAGUGACCAAGUACCAUUUUUAUGGAGAGAUUUAAUUUCUUCAUUCAUUGCAAUCAGCCACUUGGAUAAAUCAGCACCAGAAACUACUUCUGAAUAAUUUGAUGGUUCUCCAAUUUCUUCAGUUUUCUUUGCAACUGAAAAAAAAAAUACAACAUAAUCUCCAUAACUUUCUAGUUUGUGAAUUUGUCUUCUUGGUCUAUGUGUUGCUAUGGAAUACUCAUUUGGUUCAACUUCAGAAGUCACAAAUUCUGGCUCAACUUCUAGAGUUUCAACUGUAUUUUGUUCCACAGUUGAUGAGCUUGGCUCAGAAGGUAUGUCAAGUUCAACCUCCACCUGUUCAUACCUAUCAUGCUCUAUGUUUUUGGUACAAGAACUAGAAGACUCUUUUCUGGAAUGUAACAUAGAUGAUUCAUCAAAGGUUACAUCUCUGCUAAUUAUAAAUUUUGGUGACUUAGGAUCAGGGCACCAAAGUAUGUAUCCUUUCACCCCAGAUGCAUAUCCAAGGAAAAUACACUUUUUAACUCUUGGCUCUAAUUUUCCAUUAUUUAUAUGCAUGUAAGUAGGACAACCAAAAACUUCUAAGUAAGAAUAAUUAUCAGGUGUACCUGACCAUAUUUCCUCCGUAUUCUUAAAGUUCAAAGGUGCAGAAGGAGCACGGUUGAUAAUAUAACAAGUUGUAGAGAUAACCUCUGUCCAAAAAGCAUUUGUCAACCCAACAUUUGAAAUCAUGCAUCGGGCUCUUUCCAAAAGAGUCCUGUUCAUCCUUUCUGCAACACAAUUUUGGUGAGGUGUCAUCCUCAUAGUGCGAUGUUGAGCAAUUCCUUCAUUUUUGCAAAAUUUGUUGAACUGGUCAUUACAAAAUUCCAAGCCAUUAUUUGUUCUAAGCCGCUUGACCUGUUUUCCUGUCUGUUUCUCAAUCAAAACUUUCCAUUGUUUGAAAGUUAAGAAAACAUCACUUUUGUUUUAGAGGAAAUAAACUCAAACCUUCCUUGAAUAAUCAUCAAUGAAGGUUAACAUAUAUAUGGCACCACUUUUUGAUGGGCUACAAGAAGGACCCCAAAGAUCUGAGUGAAUAUAGUCCAAAGUACCUUUUGUUCGAUGAACUGCUAGAGUUUUGAAGCUGACUCUUUUCUGCUUUCCAAACACACAGUGUUAGCAAAACUCUAUUUUUUCUAUACUUUGUCCACACAUGAGACCUCUUUUGCUGAGGAUAGAAAGACCUUUCUCACUCAUAUUCCCCAAUCGUAUAUUCCAUGAUUUGGUGAUGUCAGGAUCAAAUUUAUUUGAAGUGGAAACUACAACAGCAACACCUGUAAUAGUGGAUCCCAAUAAAGUGUACAACACACUUGAUUUUCUUGCUUUCAUGAUCACAGGAGCACCUAGAGAGACUUUUAAAACUCCACCUUCACCUAUGUAUUUGCACCCAAGAGAUUCUAGAGUACCCAAUGAAAUGAGAUUAUUCUUCAAGUCAGGAACAUAUCCAACAUCGGUGAGAGUUCUAACCACACCAUCGUACAUUCUAAUUCGAACUAUACUUUUACCAAAAACUUUUCAAGGAGCAUUGUUUCCCAUCAAGACAACUCUACCUCCAACAGAUUCGAAUAUGGUAAACAAAUCCCUAUUGGGCACAUAUGAUAAGAAAAAUCUGAAUCUAAAAUCCACUCAUUGUUAGAUUUAAAAUUAUUAUUAGUUGCUAAAAAUAUUGUUCCCUCAGACUUAUCAACAGCUAUACUUGCUUCGGCGGAGUCAGCAUUUUGGUGCUCAUUUUUGUUUUCCUUAUGCUUUUUUUUGUUUUUCAACUUAUAACAUUUAGAAAUAAUAUGACCUUUCUUGUGAUAGUAUUUACACACUAUAUUUUUGUUUUUAGACUUUGACCUUGUUUUAGAUGUCUCACUAUUUGAUUCUUUCUUAUUAGAUCUACCUCUUACAAAUAAUCCUUCCUCAUGGGUUUCACUACUUUUCCCUGUAAUAUCUCUAUGUAUCUAUUCCUUUCUAUUUAAGAUAGAUUUAAUUUCUCUAUAAGAGAUAUUAUCCUUUCCAUAAAGCAUAAUAUCUCUAAUAUGCUUAAAUGAUUGAGGUAAGGAAAUAAGUAAUAAGAUGUCUUCAUCUUCAUCAUUAACUUCAGCAUCUAUAUUACUCAAAUCCAUCAGAAUAUAAUCAAAAGCAUCAAGAUGUAAGAGUUUAGAAGUACCUUCAACCAUAUGAAAUAUGUAAAGCUUUUGCUUUAGGUAAAGUGUAUCUUCCACUGUCCUCUUCAUAUACAAGGUUUUUAAUUUUUCUCACAUACCUUUCGCUGUGGUUUCUGCAGAUACUUCAUGUAAAACCUUAUUUAAGAGAUUUAGAAUGAUACCUAAUUUUUUUUUUUAUCUAUGGCGGAAAACUCUUCGUUCGUCAUAUUUUAUGGCUUCAUCUCCUUUCCUUCCAGUGCCAUGUCUAAGCCAUCCUGAAUUAGGAUAGCUUCCAUUUUUAAUUUUCACAUUCCAAAGUUUGCACUACGAUCAAAUUUCUCAACGUAAGUCUUUGUUUUAGUCAUUUUGGCUACUAAAAAUAACCUAGUUAGAUCCGUCUCUGAUACCAAUUUGUUAGGAUCGAGAACCCGGUUAUUGCAGAAUUUAACCAAAUAAUAUUAUAAAGACAAUAACAAGUUGAUAAUAACGACAAAUAAAGAAAAUAAAGGAGGCACAAAUUUAAUGUAGUUCGGUCAGUGUGACCUAGUCUACAAGCGGAGAGAAACAAUUUUCACUAUAUCCUUUUGGCCAUAAUAACAAAAAAUUUUGUUCACACUAUAAACCAGUUCUUUUGGACAUUUUUACCCCUUUACCUUAAAAAUUGAAUAUAUUCUUCUAUCCUAUUUUUAAUACAUUGAUUACUAUUAAUGAGCUUAAUUAUAGUUAAUUUCCAUAUUCAUUGGAAAAUGUUUAUUGCAUAAUCAUUACUUUUAUUGUCAAUUUUCCUUAGCCUUAAGAAUUCCAGUUAGGUAAAUAUGUUUUCAUACGUACUAAUUAUUUGUUAAUUUCAGUAUAAUUUCAUAAUUUGAAAACAUAAUCAUUAUUUGUUAAUUUUAGCUUAAAUCUAUGUGAACACAUUUUCAAAUACAUUUACUUAGGUAGAAAUUCAUAAUUAUAAUUUACACCUUUUCAAGUUAAGAAUAAAUAAUUAGGUUGAGAUAUCAAUAUUUCAGUUCGAUCUUAGUCAAUGCUUAUUCUUUCAUAGUAAGAAUUUUAUUUGUGACAGUAAAAAACAAUCAGUACUUUUGCUCGCAUUUUCUAUAUUUGAACAUAACAUCCUUGACUCUAGCUAUGACUGUUCAAAAUCAAACUGAAAUCAAUAAUCCGUAAUGAUAAUUUGGUUAUUGAACAAGUGGUUCGACUUAUCGAAUUACUAGGCGUAAAGUGUGUUGAAUUGUUGUUAUCGCAAUAUUUUAUAAAUUAUGUUUGAAAAUUAUUAUAUAUAUAUUAAUUUUAUUUAGAUGUACUAAUUAAAAAAAUAAUUCAUUAGAGGUCAUUUAGUAACAAAUAUAAGUACUGAUUCACAAUUUAUCAAACCGCUGUAAUAUAGAGGCGAAAGACUUGCACUAUUAAUACUUACGUCUCACUCUCUUUGGUUCGACACAUAUGACUAUAUGAAUUAUUUUUAUAAUGUGUCGACAUUUACCAGUUUUAAAGUGUGAUGAGUUGUCGUUAUUGAAAUAUUUCACAAAUAAUUUUUAUAAAUUAUUCAAAUAUAUAGUUUAAUUUUAUUUUAACACAAUAAUUAAAAAUAAGUAACUAGAGGUUGUUUUAGUAACAAAUAUAAGUAAUGAUUCAUAAUUUAUUAAAUCGGCGUAACAUAGAGGCAAAAGACUUGUAUGAUCAACACUAUGUGUCACUCUUCUUGGUUCGACACAUAUGAACUAUAUGCAUGAAUUUGUAAUGUGCCAACAUUUACCAGUUCUAAAGUGUGUUGAGUUGUCGUUAUUGAAAUAUUUCACAAAUUGUGUUUUAAAGUUAUUUAAAAUAAAGUUUAAUUUUAUUUAAAUAUUGUCAUACCCAAUUUUUACCUAGGUCAAAACAACAUGAUAUUAUGGACUCUAAAAAGAAUUAAUUUUAUAAAGAGUCGACACCUAAUUUUAAGAAAAAUAGGAAACCUAUUUAUUUAUUAACAAGUGUGACUUUAUUCUAAUCUACGAAACUAAUUUAAAUUUUAGGUAAGGGUUUAAAUUAUUCCGAAGAAAAGGUAUUAGGCACCCUUCAGAAUCCACAAAUGUGGUUCCCGGUCAGACUUAGAUUUAUUAAAAGAAAGAGAAAAAAUUGAUAUUUGUAAGUACAAAUAUAAAAUGCAUAUUAAAACAAUAUAAACAAAUUAUAUAUAAAGAAUGUGUAAAUUGCAUAUGUUAUCGUAAAAAUAUGUGUAUAAAAAGUGUAUGAAAAUAAAUAAAAAUACAUGAGAAUAUGUAUGAAAAAAAUGAAGAGAUUAAAUAAAGAAAAUUUGUUCAAAGGAAAAGAUUACGUAAUGUUUUUAGUGUAAAAAUAUAAAUUAUUCUAUUAAAUAUCUAAAUCAAUUUAAUUCUCUUAUAUAAAUAGUAACGGCCUAAAUUUGCCUAACGCGUGAUGAAAAUUGGGUAAAAAAUAAUAUCCCUCCCAACAUCCCAAAAAUAAAGAUUUCACUAUAAUUUAAUAUUGGUACAAUGAUAAAAAUAAAAGAAAAUACAAAUACAAAAAAAUUCAAGUUUUUCUUUGAAUAUCAUUCCCAAUGAGUAUUCCCGAGAACCUGUACAAACACUUGUAAUAAAAAUGUUAGUAACAAAUAAAUAGUUAUCAAAAUAAAUUGAACACGUAUAUGUGCAUAUAUGUAUAAAAAUAUAUAAUUUUCAUCAGAAGGUGGGCUCAGAUUAAAUUUUAAAUAUGGCAUGGCUACAAAGUGGUUGCUGAUUUAUUAGCCAUCCUAAAUCGUCUUGCCAAGAUACGAAUUAUAAAACUAUUGCGUUGUUAUAAAAAUUUCGUCAUCGCCCGAAUUUAUUUAUUUUUUACUACGUAUUUGUAUGUGUAAUAUCCGUCUUUUAGUUGAGGAGGCCUCAAAAAUCGACGAAAAAAAUUCCUUCAUCGGCCACAGUGUUUAUUUUGAUGCAAAAUAAGUAACCUUGAGAAAUAAAAAUCCAUAUCUAUUUUUGAUAUAAAAUAAAUAAUUUGAAAAGUAAAGAUAUUUCUUUAUAUUGGGGUAGCCUCAAAUAUACAGACGGAGAGAUAAUUUCAUUGGCCAACUAGUGUAGUAUUUUAUUGAUUAUCAGUAUAACCUCAAAGUCAGUAAAUAAAAAGAAUGAAAUCGUCCAAAUUUAAUUUCCCAAAAUGCGAACCAGUAGUAAUUCCACCCAAAAUAUAUCAAAAACUAUGCCAAAUCAGUCCAAAAUAUUUCUAAUGAAAAGUAAAAUAAACUAAGGGCAUUAGCAGUGAGGGAACUCAAAAAAACAACAACAAACGUUAGUGCACUUAGCAUAUCAACAGUAAGAGAACAAAUUAAACCAGAUUAAAACACUGCUCUUUCCGAAAACAAAUUAAAACACACGAAACAGAUUAUAACCGUGGGCGAUUUUAUUAAAUUACGGUAGCAAUUUUACGAAACACACACACCAGUAGCAAUUUUAUUAAAUUUAAAUCAGUACAAAAUUCGAAUUAUAUUAAAUUCAAAUAAUAUUAGUCCCGAAUAAAUAUUACGGAUUAAUAUAAUUGAAUUAAUUAUUUAAGUCCAAAUAGGUAUGGAUUUAAAUAAGGCCCAAUAUUUAUUGGGUUAGUCCAUUAAUUUGAUCCACAAAUGAUGAGCCCACUUUACUAAGCCCAAAAUAUUGUCAUAUUCUAGAGCCCAAAUAAGCGCCACGUGUCAAAUGACGUGGAAUGCCAAGUCAAGUGAAGGAGCCAAUAGGACCGUACCAUAUGUCAAACUGAUACAGCAGACCCAUGAAAUAAAAGCCCAUAAAAGGCGCCACAUCACUUAAAUUUGAUUGAUCAAAGAAAGUCCAUAUUCAUCAUGACUCUUCCUUUCCUACAACUAUAAAUAGGGGCCUCAUAAUUCAGAAAAAGGGACCCUUAGAACUCUAACAAGUAGUGAGAGAAAACUUGUGGAUCAAACUCCAUAAUUUUUCUAAAAAGCUCAAGCAUUCAAAUCAAGUUCAUCAAGAUUCAAGAUCAAGACCGCAAUAUUCAAGAACAAGCUCAAAAGCCCUUGAAUUCAAGCACAAGUCAAGAUCAAGCCCCUCAAAUCAAGAAAUUAAGUUCAAAUUCAAGAUCAAGCUCGAAGCCCUUGAAUUUAUAUUUGAAAAGAUGAAUUAGAGGAUUCAUAGAGAUUGUAACACUCGCUUUGAAAUUAAUAAAACGAUUGUUGUAAUGUUUUUUGUCUCGAUUAUUUAUUUUUUGAUCUCAAAAAUUUUAUUGUCCAACAAUAACAAACCAAAUUAGGGAAACAAGAUAUACAAUAGCACUUAAACCAAUAAAAACAAAAUUCCAGGGAGUGUUUUUUGACGAACAACAAUAAUAAAUGGAGAUGAAAGUGGCGUCGUUUCUAUGGAUUUAGCUGGAGCAACGCCGUAUGUACAAAGCUCCGAUAACAUCUAGCCUAAAAAUGGUACAACAACAAAUGAGAGGGAGCAGCGAGGUGGGGAGUUCAUUAGGUGAUGAAAGGAGGAAGAAGGGGAUGUAGCCGGUAGGUAUGGGUGGUCGGUGAUGCUGGUGAGGUGGUGGAUUUCGCCGGAGUCCGGCCAUGCUCACCGAAGAAAGAAGGAAAGAAAAAAAAGAGCAGAUGAUAUUUUUUUAGUGUGUGUUUUAGCGUGUGUAUUAAAAGUGUGUUUGUGAGAGAAACAAAGUCUGUGAGGGAAGUCAUUCUAAACUGUAAAGUGUGUAUUUUUUGUAGGCAAAAUGACCUUCUGGACCUCUGUACUAUGUCGGUUUUGUAAGUUGGACACUUUUACUUACAUGUUUGUCAUCUGAAUUCCUGAAUCCACUAAAAAGCAACACUUUAAACUCUUUUUUGGUGAGUGUAACAGACUUUUUUCCACGUCAGCUGCCACGUCAUCUGUCACGUCAUUUAAAAAAAGUAUUACAUUAAAUUCCAAGUCAUUUUUAAAAUUCUACAUAACAAAUUAAAUAUUAAAAUUAAUUUAAUUAAAUAAGAAAAAAUUAUAAAUUUUAGAAAAAUUUGAAUAAUCAUGUUUUUAUUUUUGCUCACAAAUUAAACAUCAAAUCCAUUUCAAAUAAUUAAAAUUAUUCUCCAAUUAAUUUAAAUUUUUAAUUAUAAAUUCAUAAGUACAAACAUGAUAAAUUUUUGAUUUUUAAAUUUGAAUAAUUUUAACAAAUUCAAAAAAAGUUUAAUUUUUUCAAGCGAAAUUCACUAAUUUUUUUCAAUAUUCACUAUCACUAACUUUCAAUUUAAAUUUAAAUUUUAAUCUAAAAAUAAAAUAAAAUAAUUUCAAAUUUAAAUUUUAAUUAAAAAAUGAAAAGAAUUAAAUUGAGAAGAAAAAUUAAAAUUAAAAAGAAAAAGUGAACGUGUGUGGGGUGGUGGGGAAGCGGGAUGGAAGAGUGUUGGGGUGGGGUAUGAGGGCUGGAAGGGGCUGGGGAUGGGGUGGGAAUAGGGGUGGGAGAGGUGGAGNNNNNNNNNNNNNNNNNNNNNNNNNNNNNNNNNNNNNNNNNNNNNNNNNNNNNNNNNNNNNNNNNNNNNNNNNNNNNNNNNNNNNNNNNNNNNNNNNNNNNNNNNNNNNNNNNNNNNNNNNNNNNNNNNNNNNNNNNNNNNNNNNNNNNNNNNNNNNNNNNNNNNNNNNNNNNNNNNNNNNNNNNNNNNNNNNNNNNNNNNNNNNNNNNNNNNNNNNNNNNNNNNNNNNNNNNNNNNNNNNNNNNNNNNNNNNNNNNNNNNNNNNNNNNNNNNNNNNNNNNNNNNNNNNNNNNNNNNNNNNNNNNNNNNNNNNNNNNNNNNNNNNNNNNNNNNNNNNNNNNNNNNNNNNNNNNNNNNNNNNNNNNNNNNNNNNNNNNNNNNNNNNNNNNNNNNNNNNNNNNNNNNNNNNNNNNNNNNNNNNNNNNNNNNNNNNNNNNNNNNNNNNNNNNNNNNNNNNNNNNNNNNNNNNNNNNNNNNNNNNNNNNNNNNNNNNNNNNNNGAGGAAAAAAGAUUCUUGUUUUAUUUUUUUAAUUUUAAUAUUUUUAUUUUUUUAAAUUAUUUUAAUGUAAAAUUGGCCAAAAAUUGACCCUCACUCACACCCCAGGCAAGUGACUGCACUUUCCUUGUCUUAGUCACCAUUUCAAUGCCACAUAGGCGAGGUCAACAGUCAAAGAAUUCAAAAUAUUGCUUUUUAAUGGGUUCAAGGGUUUAGAUGACAAUCAUGUUAGUAGAAGUGUCCAACUUACAAAACCGACAUAGUACAGAGGUCCAGAAGGUCAUUUUCCCUUUUUUAUAUUAAAGAAUUGUUCCCCCCCUCUUAUUAUUUAUAAUGAUAAAUAAAUACCAACAUACCCAACAUCAACAUACCCAAAUCAGCAACAUACCCAACAUCAACAACAUAUAUUUUCGAAUCAGCAAACUUAAAUUCUUGCAUACAUUAUUUAUAAUAAAAGUGGUGCUCAUUAUUAACUAAAAAAUAAAAUCAUCCCUUUAACCAUUAAAAUAUAUCUUAUUAACCAAAAAAUAAAGAAUUAAACUAGUCAUUUCAAUUUUCAUCUUUAAAAAAGUUGACAUAAUUUUGACUCGAUUGAUUUGUUACUAUGUACAUUAAAAUGAUUAAGCCGACUCAUAUUUGUAGGUCGUAUUAAAUAAUGUACAAAAGUAUAAAUGCGAUAUAUAAAUACAAAAAAAAUAUAAACAACAAAUAAAAAAUAUAAAUAUCUUAAAAAAAUAUAUUAUGCCAUAAAGAACUAAAAUUAUACUGUUCAGUAAAAAAUUACAGUGCUGUGCUGUGUACGUCCCCAAAUGAUAGUGCAAAAAUAUUAAAAUAAUAAUAAACUGAUAAAAAUUCUAAAAUUUACAAAAUUAAAGAUAAUUAUCAACAAAUUAUAUAAAAUUAAAAUAUAACAAUAAAUGAUUAAAAAUUCUAAAAUAAUGAUAAUUAUCAAUAAUUUAUUAAUAAUUACAAAAAUGUGUGAAAAAUUGCAGUUUGUGCCAUUUAACGAUUAGAAAGUCUAAAUGCCUUAAUUUUGAGUUUGGAGAGCCAAAAUUGGGUGUCAAUAGUUUGCGCCUUUUCGUUUGAAUAUAAUGUAGAAGUGUUCAAACAAAAAUAUUAACGUGUAGCUAAUUUUGCUAGAUAAAAAAUUAUUUUUGAUAAAAAUUCGAGCAAACUAUAAUUUAGAUUUGCUUACAUAUUUUGAGUUGUAUGAGGAUGAGGUCGGGUAUAACUCAAAAGUUAUCCCAGCAUGUCCUAAUUUGGGUUGAAAAAAUUCAAUGCGUCCUCGAAUUCUAUGCCUACAAGAUUUAUAAAACUGAAAAGUAGAGGACAAAUGAGUAACUAAGCUUGAUUUUUUUUUGUUGUGGUUAGUUUUUCCUUUUUUCCAUUUUUUUUCAAGAAACAAAAAAUUCAAAAUGCAGUGCUUAACUAAUGAAGAAAAAAUUAUACAAGCAAAGAUAACAUCUAGUGCUUAAAUGGUAAAAUAAGUGCAUUACGGUAUAUGUAGGUAAAGACAAAACAUGCAGUGCUUAAAUAACAAAAUAAGUGCAUUGCGAUGUGCAAAUAAAUAUAAACAUGACACGCAGUGCUUAAAUUACAUAAUAAAAAAAUGCAUUGCGAUAUGUGCAAGAAAAAAUCAAGAUGGCAUGUAGUGCUUAAAUGAUAAAAUAAAUGCAGUGAGAUGUUGCAAGGCAUGCAAUGCCUAGAUUAUAAAAUAAAUGCAUUGCGAUAUGUGCCAAUAAAGGUAAAGAUGAUAUGCAGUGCUUAAACAAUAACAUAUAUGCAUUGCGAUAUUUGCGAGACAUGCAGUGGUUAAAUGAUAAAACAAAUGCAUUGCGAUGUUUGCGAGGCAUACAGUGCUUUAAUAACAAAAUGCAUUGUGAUAUGAGCCAGUAAAGGUAAAAAUGACAUGCAGUGCUUAAAUAAUAUAAUAAAUGCAUUGCAAUAUAUGCGUGCAGUGCUUAAACGAGAAAAUAAAUGCAUUGUGAUGUUUGCUGGGCAUGCAGUGCUUAAAGGAUAAAAUAAAUGCAUUGCGAUAUGUGCGUACAAUGUUUAAAUUCAUAGCAAUAUGCGUCAAUAAAGGCAAAGAUUACAUCCAAUGCUUGAAUAAUAAAAUAAAUCCAUAGCGAUGCGUGCAAAUAAAGACAAAGAUAACAUGUGGUACUUAAAUGAUAAAAUAAAUGCAUUGCGAUGCGUGCAGAUAAAGAUAAAGAUAACAUGCGGUGCUUAAAUGCAUUGCGAUGCAUGCAGAUCAAGAUAAAGGCAAUAUGUAAUGCUUAAAUGAUAAAAUAAAUAAAUACAUUGCGGUACGUGCAGUAAAGGCAAGAAUAAAAUGCAAUACUUAAAUGAUAAAAUAAAUGCAUUGUGAUACGUGCUUGUAAAGGAAAAAAUAGAGUGAGGUGCUUAAACGUUAAAAUAAAUGCAUUGCGAUGCGUGCAAAUAAAGUCAAAGAUGAAAUAUAGUGCUUAAAUGAUAAAAUAAAUGCAUUGCGAUAUGAGCCAGCAAUGGCAAAAAUGACAUGCAAUGUUAAAUAAUAAAAUAAAUACAUUACGAGAUAUGCAAAUAAAUACAUACAGUUCUUAAAUAACAAAUGAUAAAACAAAUACAUUGUGAUACGUGCAAGUAAAGGCAGAGAUAACAUACAGUGCAAAAGGAAUAACGAAGUACGAUAUGUGCAAGUAAUGAUACAAGUCAAAUGGCCGUCUUAUCUUUUGAUGACAUCUUUAGAGGUCAACACCUAGAAAAUAAAGAUGUGGUCACCUCGAGGACACAUGGACAUGUAUGGAGAAUCCAUUUUGAGCAUAAACAAGGUCGUGAGUGGAAGAUUUCUUGGAGCAUUGAAGACUUGAGGACUCACGGAUUUGGAUUACACUUAAUGGCUCACAGUUUGGUCACCUUAUUAAGGGCAUUUUGGUCACUUCACUUGGCCCAAAUGCACUCCAUGGCUACCCCACCUAUUAAGGGUAUUGUUGUCUUUUUUAUCUUGUCUUGUAAUAAUAUAAAUAGAAUAUUUUAGGUCUUUUCUCAUUAGAUUAUUAAUGAUGAAAUAUUGAAAGUCUUAAUAUCUCUAUUGAGAGUGUUCCACCUUAGUGUAGUUCUUAGUUAGGGCUUGGAAUAGCUAUUGUAGUUUAGGAGUUGGAAAAGCCAAUAUUGACCCUUGCUUGAAAAUGGUGGAUCUUGAGGUGAGUUGAUUUCCUUGGCGGUCACCGUAAGAGUGUGGUUUAGAUUAUUACAUUCAUUAGGGGUUAGUGUUGAUAUACACUUGGUUCUUAAUCUUGUAAUAAUCUUUGUCUCAUUAUCUAUCCUUUACUUUUAUUGUAAUCCUGUUGUGUUGUUCUUGUUCCCAUUUUCUUGGGUUUGGGGUGUUGUUGGAAUCCAAAAUUAUUGUUCAUCUUGUAUUCAUCUUGUGUUGUUAAUCUUAUAGUUUGGUUGGCUGUUUUGGUGUGAUAAACACCUUGUAAACUCUUCAUUUUUGUUUUCAUUGGUGAAUCCGAGAGUGGUCACCAAAGAGGUCCUCGAUUUCUUGAACUUGUGGACUGAUUUUGGUGUAUGUUUUGUGCCUUCCGUUUUCUUUCUUGUAUCAUUUGGUAUCAAAUAAUGGCUUGAUUUUGUUCCCACAAGAUCAAUCUUGGGCUUGCUUGCUUGAAAAUUAAAAAAAAAAAAGUUAAAAACUGAAAAUUCUAAAAAGAGGUAAAUCUGUCCAUUUUGUUGUCUUGGCCAAAAUUGUGUCUUGACCGAGAUUUGUGUCUUGUAAACUUAGGUCUAAGAGUCCUUUUUCUGUGUUAUGUUGUUGGUAGUGUUUGCUUAUUCAUCCCUAACACUAAAGGAGUCUAAAUCUAAGUUUGAGCUUUAAAAGUUGAUCUUGUUGUUGUGAAUCCCAAGUGUGGCUGAUUGUGUUGGCAUUGUUGUUGUUGGUUCAAGUUUUGAACGUGUAUUGUGGGGAUUUUUUUUGUGGAUUUUAAGCUUGAAAAGGUGUUUUUGUUGUUUGGAGGGUCCAACUUGAACCUUAGAACUUCAAGACUCAAAGUUUGUGUUCUUAGUGUUUUUCACCAUCUCCAUAUAUUGUUGAAGAAAAGUGGUUGUUGAUCUCAGAAGUUGAAGAAAAGUGGUUGUUGAUCUUUUGAGUCAAACUGAAGUGGUGAGAUUCCAAACUUCGAAAGACCCUAGUUCAUGCUAUGGAUUUAUUUUUGUCUUUACUCUUUCUUUGGUCUUAGUUUUGGCUAUGGUCGGGGGCAUAUCCCAACUGGAUAUUCUUUGGCUUUGAUUAGAGGCUUUAUCGGACUACGGUAGGCUUGAGCAGUAUCAUCAUUGGUAUUGGUUGGUAUUUUAAAUUAUGAAAGGUUGGUUUUGGUCAUAGACUGAUUAUAAUGUCUUUAAAUUGAUAUUCUCUUAUCUUGUUAUAUGUUCAAAAUUCAUUUGACAUGAGGUGUAAGAUGGUCAAUGGUUUGGGUAUUGGGGGAUACCCGACAUGACUAGGUCCUGGUUCGGGUCAUGUCAGAUUGGUAUUAGAGACUAGGUUCAUGGUUAAUCGGGUGUCCACAAAGCUGUGUCAAAUAGAGUCUCUUUUAUGGGUAUGUAGCAUACCACAUUCAUAAGGGAGAGGCUAUGAGGCAUUUAGGAAUGUUUCUCUUUCUUGUGUUUUAUUUUUGGGCUGUAGAGUCUAAGGUCUAGGAUCUUUCUAUUUCCUAUUUGUUUGCCUUUCAGAUCAUGCCUCCAAGAAGAUCUGAUAUUUAUAGAACCUUUCUGUCCUAUCUGAGGAUAAUAGAAAUAGAGCUCAUUCUACUUUAGGGGUUCAGACUAGGUGUAGGGACACUGUCUCUGAUGGUCCUAAUAGAGAUCCACCGAUUCCUCUUAUCCCUCCUCAGACACCUUAAGAUGACGUGUCUAAUGUUGAGUUUUGCCAAUCGAUCCAUCUGCUUACUCAGUUGGUUGCCUCUCAGACUGAGCGUGCAAAUUUUAUUACUCCACUAUCUGAGGCCACUAGAGUUGGCUAAUUUAUGAGGAUGAAUCCCUCUAUUUUCACUGGUAUAAGGUUGAGGAGGAUACUCAGUGUUUCAUAAAUAAAAUGGAAAAGAUUUUCUAUGUGAUGCAUAUUACUGAGAUAGAAGGUGUGGAGUUUGCAGCCUAUCAGUUGAAGGAUAUACCACAUUUGUGGUAUGAAGAGUGAGAGUAACUCAAGGGUGUGGAUGCUGAGUAUGCCUUGUAGGAGUACUUUUCUAGAGCUUUUCUUGAUUGCUUCUUUCCCCAAGAGUUAAGGGCGGAAAAAAUUGAAGAAUUCGUGAAUUUGAGGCAAGGCAAGAUGACAGUCAAGGAGUAUGGUUUGAUGUUUCAUCAGUUGUAUCGGUAUGCUCUAGAGUUAGUUCCUAGCAUGAGGGCUAAAAUGAGGAAAUUUACGUCUGGGUUAUCCCAUGAUUUGAUUCUAAAAAGUAAGGCUACCUUGUUGAACAAGGAUAUGGAUAUUUCUCAGCUUGUGGUUUAUAUGUAAUAGGUUGAGAAAGAGAAGAAGAAGUAGGCUGAAAUAGGGAAAAAGCAGAAUAAGAAGUUUAGAUUUUCUGAUCAGGGUAGAGGUCAACAGCAGAGUGGUAGAUAUGGUGGAAAGUGGUCUAAGAAGAAGUGGGGGAUUUCUAGUUCCUACUUUACGGCUAGUGCUACUUAUCUAAAGUCGUCAGGUGAUCGUUGUUCACAGCAUGAUAGUGGGUUUAAGGAACAUGGUGCCCAAUCUCAGGCUAGCAGGGCCCAAUCAGCUUUAUCAUAUUCUCUUUGCAGAUUGUGUGGUUGAUUGCAUUAGGUUUUUUGUGAUAAAGGAAGGGACAAGUGUUUUAAUUAUGGUUAGCCAGGGCAUAUGCUUAAAACUAUCCCUUGGGUAAGGUUGCUUCUAGGGAAAACAAGGUUUCGAUUGCCUCUUCAUUAGUUUUCGUACCAAAAGGUGCCCCAUCUGGCUUCGGCACUGGUUAAAAUUGACUUUAUUCUCUCACAACCCAUCAGGAGUCCAAAAUAUCACUCGAUGUACUUACUGGUUUUUUGAAACUCUUUUCUCGUGAUCUGUACUAUUUACUUGAUCUAGGGUCCACUCUUUCUUAGGUGACCUUAUUUGUGGCUGUGUAUUUUUGGUUUUGGUCCUGAGUAUAUUUUGGACCCCUUUUUAUAUUUCUACCCUAGUGGGUGAUUUUGUGGUGGCCAAGAGAGUCUAUAGAGGUUGUGUGUUAUGUUUGGGUGGUAAGGAGACUUUGGUGGAUUUGUUUGAAUUAGAUAUGGUUGAUUUUGAUGUCAUAUUAGGGAUGGACUGGUUGCAUUCGUGCUAUGUCUCUUUAGAUUGUCGGCCCCAUAAUGUCAUUUUUAAAUUCCCUAACGAGCCGGUCAUUGAGUGAAAGGGGGUUAUGUAGUGCCUUAGGAGAGAUUCAUAUCAUAUCUUAGAGAUCGAAAGUUGAUUUCCAAAGGAUUCCUUUAUCAUUUGGUCUGGGUUAAAUAUUCUAACUCGAAGGUUCUUCCUUACAAUCUAUCCUGGUAGUGAAUGAAUUUCUUAAAGUUUUUUCCUGAUGACUUUUCUAGUGUCCCUCCUGAUAGGGAGAUUGAUUUUGGGAUUGAUCUAAUUUUGGACACUCGCUCGAUCUCUAUUCCCUCAUAUAGAAUGGCUCCAGCUGAGUUAAAGGAGAUUAAGGAGCAAUUAAAGGAUCUUCUAGACAAAGGUUUCAUCCAUCUUAUUGUGUCCCCGUGGGGUACACUUAUUUUGUUUGUGCGCAAGAAGGAUGGUUCCCUUUGGCUAUGUAUUUAUUAUUGUUAAUUGAACAAAGUGACUAUAAAGGAUAAGUACCCUCUUCUAAGGAUUUAUAAUUUGUUUGGUCAACUUUAGGGUGCUAAGUUUUUCUCCAAGAUCGAUCUUCAAUCUGGGUAUCAUUAGAUAUAGAUUCGGGAGGUCCCUAAGACUGCCUUCUGUACCUAAUAUGGACAUUUUGAGUUCUUAGUCAUGUUAUUUGGUCUGACUAAUGCCCCGAUGAUAUUUAUGGACUUUAUGAAUAGGGUCUUUUAUCAAUUUUUGGAUUUGUUUGUCAUUGUAUUUAUAGAUGAUAUUUUGGUGUACUUCUAGAGUUAGGUGGAUCAUGUCGAUCACCUCCGUAUAGUGUUUUAGACCUUGAAAGACCAGCAUUUUUAUGCUAAGUUCUCUAAGUGUGAGUGCUGGUUGAAUACUAUUAUUUUUUUGGGUCACGUUAUAUAUGAAAGGAUCAUGGUGGAUCGACAAAAGGCUCCAGUGGUUAAGAAAUGGCCUAGACCCCUGACUCUAAUUAAUAUCUGGAGCUUCUUGGGUUUAGCUAGUUACUACAGGAGAUUUGUGGAAUGUUUCUCUUCAUUAGUUGCCCUGUUGGCUGAGUUAACUCAGAAGAAGGAGAAGUUCUUAUGGUUUGAUGAUUGCGAGGGUAGUUUUGAGAAGCUGAAGAAUAAGCUGACUACGACUCCGAUCUUGACUUUUCCUGAAGGAACUGAUGGUUUUGUGGUCUAUUAUGAUGUAUCCCGUGUGGGUCUUGGUUGCAUUUUGAUUCAGCGUGGAAAGGUGGUGGCUUAGGCCCCUAGACAUUUGAAGGUUCAUGAGAAAAAUUAUUCGACUCAUGGCUUGGAGGUGUUGGUUGUGGUGUUCUUAUUGAAAAAAUGGCGUCACUAUUUUUAUGAAGUGCAUAUGGAUAUAUUUUCUGAUCCUAAGAGCCUACAAUAUGUGUUCACUCAGAAAGAGCUAAAUCUCAGGCAAAGAAGGUGGCUUGAGCUACUCAAGGAUUAUUACAUGAGUUUUUACUACCAUCCAGGUAAAUCUAAUAUGGUUGUUGAUGCUCUUAGCAAGUUAUCCAUGGGGAGUCUAGCUCAUGUGCAUAGGGAUAAGUGGGAAUUAGUGAAGGACAUUCACCAUUUGGCAAACCUCAGAAUUCGUCUCUUCAACUCAAAUGUUGGUGGUGUGUUUGUGAAAAAGGUGGCACAGUUGUCUCUUGGUACUAAAUAAAAGAGAAAUAGGUAUUGGAUCCUAUACUAAUGAAGAUUAAGGAAGAUGUUGGUCAUCAGAAGAUGAUGACCUUCGAGAUUGGGGGUGAUGGUACCUUAAGGUUCCAAGGGAGGUUGUGUGUUCCCAAUAUUGAUGAAUUGUGACAGAGCAUUUUGGCUAAAGCUCAUGAGUCGCAUUAUACCAUUCAUCCUAUUUCAAUAAAGUUGUAUCGUGAUCUUAAGAAGAUCUAUUAGUGGAACAAUAUGGAGUGAGAUAUGGCCAGUUUCAUGGCUAAAUACAUGGUGUGUCAACAGGUAAAGUCGAGAACUUGAGGCCUAGAGAGUUGUAUCAAGAAAUUGAGUUACCUAUGUUGAAGUGGGAAGUGGUUAAUAUGAAUUUUGUUAUCGAUCUUCCUCGAUCUCAAAAUUAGUUUGAUUCGAUCUGGGACAUCAUGGAUAGGAUGACUAAGUCUGCUCACUUUUUGCCAGUAAGGACUAACUUUUUGGAGGAGGAUUAUGCACAUUGUUCAUUGAGAAAAUUGUGAAGUUGCAUGGGGCGCCUGUUUUCAUCAUGUCAGAUCAUGGUGCUCAAUUUUCAUCAUACUUUUGGUGCUCGUUUCGAAGGGGUUUAGGGAUUAAGGUGAGCUUAGUACUACUUUCCACCUGCAGUUGGAUGAGAAAGCGUAAGGACUCUUCAUGCAUUGGAAGAUAUUCUUUGAGCUUGUAUGAUUUACUAUGGUGGUAAUUGGGUUGAUCAGUUGUCUUUUAUAGAGUUUAUGUAUAAUAAUAGCUGCCACUCUAGUAUCGAAAUGGCUCUGUUAGAGGAUUUGUAUGGUAGGAGGUGUUGGUUUUGUUUUGGGUGGUUCAAGGUUGGUGAGGCCGAGAUGUUUAGCCUGGAGUUGUUUCACCAAGCCAUGGAGAAGGUGAAGGUGAUUCGGUAUAGAUUUAAAGCCACCCAAAGUCCUAUGCGGGUGUGUUAAUUAGGAAGUUAGAGUUUGAGGUUGGUGAUUGGGUGUUCUUAAAGGUGUCUCCUAUGAAGGGAGUAAUGAUGUUUGGGAAGAAGGGGAAACUCAGUCCCCGGUAUGUCGGCACGUACUUGGUCUUAAAGAGGGUUGGUAAUACUGUAUAUGAAUUAGAGUUGCCUUCUAGUUUGAUCUCCGUUCACCUGGUAUUCCACGUGUCAAUAUUUAGAAAGUGUGAGGGUGAUCCAUCCCUGAUUGUGCCUAUCAAGGAUAUUAGUAUUUCAGAUUGCUUGUCUUAUGAGGAACUCUCGGUUGAAAUAUUAGAUUGGUAAGUUCGUCGAUUGCGGAGAAAAUACGUAGCUUUGAUAAAUUCCUUGGUUUUCUUAUUUUCUCUCUUAAAGGUAGGAGUAGUGAUGUUUGGGGUUCAAUCGUGCUGGUAAAUGCCUUGUCCCAUCAUUUAAGGACGAAUGAUCCAAGUAGGGGAAAAUUGAAACACCCGAAUUUUGGCCCUUAAAAAUUUCUUGAGCUUUGAGCUUACUGCCUUGGUUACGACUUGACCUCAUGAGUUGUAGAGUGUCUUGGCGGGUUGGAUGACCCUAGUCGUAGGGUGACCAAAGUAUGGUGUUGAGUUUUUAUCCUGGGUACGAUUUGAGGGAACGCGUCGUUGGGAGAAAUCAUAACUAAAUCAUGUAAGUUUGUGGCUUGAUUCUGCUCUGAGUAUGAUUUGCUCACUAAGAGCCAUAAGGAUAUGUUACGAGUAUUGACAUGAAAUCGUAGGAUGUCCAAUGUUCAACCUAAUUGAGUAAUAUUUUGACUACGACUUGACCUUACGAGCCGUAUGGUCCUGUUAUGAGUAAGCUUGUUGAGUCAUCAGAUUGCCAGUGUAUGAGAAUCUUUGUCACUGUCUUGGUCAUGACUUGUGGUUAUAAGUCGUAAAGAGGGGUUACUAGUCAAUGGUUGACUCAUAGUCAAAGGCGUUUUCCAGAUUUUAAGUCUAGGGCAUUCUGGAUAUUUUUCCUUUUACCCAACUUGAAACCCACGUCUUAUAACCUUUUAAGGGUAUCCUUAGCUCUCAUAAACACAUCCAAUAGACUCUCAAAUACUCUCAAAUCCUCAAGGCCUAGAACAUUUUGGGUUUUCACGAGAUUAAUAAAUUUGGGCUUCCAAGUGUGAUUUUUCUCCAUACUACUUGGUGUUUAAGGCAUGUUACUCUUCCCUGAUCGUUAAUUUUAUAAGUUCAUGUUUUUUAAAGUAUCAUUCAUGAGAUAUUAAUGUUGGGUUUUGAACUAUGGGUUGAGGGUUUUUAAUAUAAUUUUUUUAAAUGCUUCUUCCAUGAUAUUUAUGAAAUAAUUGUGCUUAAAUUGAUGAUUGAUAAAUACAUUGGGGUGCGUGGGAAUGGUGGAUGGAAAUAGGGGUACGAUGGAGUCCCCAAAUUAAUUAUUUUGGUAUGGAAAUUUGUAAUAAACUCAACUCACUUGCGUAAUUGAUUUUGGUUUAUGCAUUAUCACCUGGCUUGGCUUGUUUCUUGAAACUAAUGCAUGGUAUAAUAGGUUAAAUGGUUUAGGAUAGUUUUGAAAAUCUUAUGGGGUACAAUGGAAUUCCCUAAGUGAGUGAUUAUGAGAACCUUGCAGGGUACAUCGAAAUCCCCUAAGUGAUUUUAAUAAUGGAGUCUGCAAGAUACUUGGGAAUCCCCUAAGUGUUAGCUAAUGACAUUUCUUGCAAGCUAUAGUCGGUAUGACUAUACCACUUAAUAAUGCCUUAUUAAUUGACUCCUGGGAUCGUGGUUUGGUUAUGUGCUAAAUGUUUUAAUUGGGCAAUAAUAUGGGUUGGAAUAGCUAGCCGUGAAGGUGUGAGUCUGAGGGACGGACACUGGAAACUCAUGUUUGCCGAAAUAAGGGUUGGUAUUGAUGACCGUGAGCUUGUGGGGUACAAGGGAAUCCCCCAAGCCUAAACACGUAUAUAUGUAUCAUGGAAGGCGAAGGGUACAAUGGAAUCCCUAUCCAUUUAUGAUAUCUCUGAUUCCUGUGGCUAACACGCAUUAGGUCCCAUUCAGGGGAUAACACUGGACCAUAUAGACCGUGGGUGGACAUAUGAUGGUAAAUCUACACAACCCAGAUUACGAUUUUAAAAUGCAAGCUAAAUCUUGUACCCUAUCCUGAGAUGGUAUAUAUAUGUAUUUAUUUGCAUAUAGUUAUGUAAAUUGGUUUGACUUGGUUUUGGAUUGAUGGCAUUACUUUAUCUUUAUCCCUGAGUUACAUGCUAGUAUUCACCCAGCUAACCGUCUUCAAAACAUGUAUCCCUCGCGAUGCAGGAACCGGCCAUUCUCCCACUCCUUCUACUCAGUGACUAGGUGAUUCGUGGAUAAUUUUUAAGUCAGACCUAAGUGGUAAGCUUCCAUGCUUUGGAAGACCCCAGUUUAUGCUAUGGAUAUCCUUAUGCCUUUACUAUUUCUCUGGUCUUGGUUUUGGCUAUAGUCAGGGUCAUGUCCUGACUGGAUAUUCUUUGUCUUUGAUUAGAGGCUUUGUCGGGCUUUGGUGGGCUUGGGCGGUCUCAGUAUUGCUAUUGGUAUAUGCAUUGGUAUUUGUAUUGGUUGUCUUUUUUUUGGUUGUAGAAGGUUAGUUUUGGUUGUAGACUGAUUAUAGUGUCUUUAGAUUGAUAUUCUCUUAUCUGGUUAUAUGUUCGAAAUUCAUCCAAUGUAAGGUAGUCAAUGUUUUAGGUAUUGGGGUUGGUUUUCGGUUCGGGUUGGACUUGAGAUACCCAACACGGCUAGGCCCUGGUUCGGGUUGUGUCACCUUAUGUGUUUUUAGUAGAAGUUAUGCACUUUUGAUACUCACAAACAUAUUUUGAUUUCGAGAUUCAAUUUUGAUCUUGGAACUCUCUUGUAUUAUAUUCAGUUGAUUAAUUCAAUUACAGUUGUGGGUUUUCUACUUCUUAUUAUUGUGAUUUCAUCUAUGCUUUCGAUCAUGAACGUUGUUUAUUACUUCACAAGUAUAAGCGGUAAAAAACCCAUAGCUAGGGUUGUGGAAACUCUAGUAGAUUGAUGAAGUAGAGGAAAUUCUAUUGUUGUUCUAAACCGAUACCCAUGCAUGUAUUGCUUUAUCUUCAACCCCAGCCUUUAUUGGGUUACUAUAUUUGGUAGCGACCGUAUCAUCUUUUGAGAGAAGGUAUAGCUGGGACGUCACCAAAUUUUGGCACCGUUGCCAGGGAGUACGGUGUUGAUUAUUGAAUUGAAGUUGUUGCAAUUUUUGUGUUUUUCUUUUUUAUUUUUGUUCUUAGUUGGGCAUUCACCGGUGUAUGCCUAAUACACGGAGGAGAGGAAAUCCCUAACUCCCAGUAAAUUCGAAUCCAUAAAGGAUCCUACAAACAUUUAGUAGGAUGGUGGAAUAGAAAAAAGAUGAUAAUCCUGAAAGGGUUCAUGAUAUUGUACCUCUUCCUCCUUAUGAAGGAGGGCAGGAUAUUGUUGAUUGACAGACUGGUAGGCUUUUAUCUAAAGUUGAGAACAAGAGGAGGGCAACGGAAUAAGCUCAGCGGGUAGCUAGGGAGGUAGAUCUAGCUGAGCAAAGACAAGAAGCAGCCCAUCAAGUGUAGUAGGUGGAAACCAGAACAGAGCUAGAGGUGCCCGUGUUUAAGUGAUCCCAACAUAUAUAUAGGUGCGACCAUAUACAGAUGAUGAAGAAAUCUAAUAUACUGAGCUGGCAGAGACUGAAGCCAUUAUUCCUCAUGUUUUACCCCCAGGCAUCAAGUUUGACAUAAUGAGCGUAAUGAUCCAACUCCUAAAUCUAAAGGGUGUGUUUGCAGGUCUGCCUAAAGAUGAUGCAAAUUUGCACCUUGCUAAUUUUAUUGGGAUCUGCAGUUCGUAUACAAAUCCAGGGGUGAAUAGAAAAUGCUUAAACUAAGGUUGCUCCCCUUCUUACUUACAGGAGAAAAAUCUUUAUGGUUAAGGGAACUACCAAGAGGCUCUAUUACUACUUGGAAUGAGUUGUGCAAUCAAUUUUUUCCUCCAACUAGGAUUUUACAAUUGAGGAUGAGAUCUAUAAUUUCAUGUAGUUGCAGUUUGAAUCUAUUGAUAAGGCAUGGUUCAGGUUCAAGAAGAAGCUGAGUAUGGUUCCCAACCAUCAGAUAUUAGGGACGAGCUUAUUGUAGAUAUUUUACCGAUCCUUGACCAUCAGUUCUAGAUCCAUGAAAGAUACCAUCUCUUAAAGAGUUCUUAUGAGAUUACGUUGGGGGGUAACUUCGAAGAUGCUAGAUAAAUUAUCGCUCACUAACUGAGGGUGGCAAACUCGAGAGGCUGAGAAGGGAUCUGGCACAUAUGUUAUUGGUGCCUCCUGUGAGAAAAAAAUUGUUGAUGAUUCAGUAGCAUAAGAAAUUAUGCUACUAAGAACUAAUAUAGGGGUACUAGUAAAGCAUCUUACCAUAACGACUUCCGAGAAAGUGAAUGCAGUAGCAGCACAGGGGUCGGCUUCAAUAGCUUAAGAGCCAGAACUGAAGGAGGAAACAAGUUAUUUGGAUCUCCAGUUGGAAGGUUUCUAAGCCCAAGGGCAAGGGAACCAAGGUCAGAACUGCUAUAAAAGAUAUAAAGACCGUAGUAGAGAGUGAGACGGUGACCGGAAGAAGAUGGAUGACUACAGAGAGAAGAGAGAUAGGAACAUUCCACCUAGUAGAAGAGAUGCAAAAUCAAGAAUGGAAGAGAUGCUAGCUAAAAUGGUUAAGGGUCAAGAAAAUCAAGAGAUCAACCUUAAGUAGAUUAAGGCCGACAUUUUAGGGUCAAACUAAAAGGUCGAAUCACAUGUCACUACUAUGAAACAGUUAGAGCACCAGUUCGGGUAGAUGUUAGUAACUGUAAACCAGAGGAUGCAGGUACCCUUCUAAGAAACACUGUGCAGAAUCCAUAAAAUAAUGGUCAUGUUCUUACUAUUAUCACGUAGAGUGGUAUGACUAUUAUGGAUCCCCUACUACCUGCUGCGAAAGCUACUAUUGAUGAGACAUCUUUUGUGGUGUAGAAAAAGCAACAGGUGGUGAUGAAGAAGUUGUUAAGGAAAAAGGUAAGGUUUUGGUUGUUGAGUAGGAAAUAAGACAUACUGAGAUUGCCCCACCUUUUCCUCAGCGACUGAAACAGAAAAGAAAGGAAGGAAAAUUCAAGAGAUUUAUCGAGAUAUUGAAAGAAUUAAGCUUGAAUAUUCCUAUUCUUGAGGUGUUGGAGAAGAUGCCUAGAUAUGCUAGGUUUAUGAAGCAGUUGGUCACAAAGAAGAGAUAAGCUACGAUUGAGGAUGUUGAUGGUUUGUACCACUGUAGUGCAGUCACUACAAGGUCUUUAUCUUAGAAAAAAGGGUGACCCUAUAGCAUUUACCAUGUACUAUUAGGUCAUCCCGAUUUGAUAGAGCCUUAUAUGACUUAGGUGCCAGCAUAAAUUUGAUGCUAGCCGUAUUCAAGAAAUUGGGCUUGAUUCCUCCUAAACCGACGUUAAUGCGGCUAUUAAUGGCUAACCGUACGGUAACAAAACUCGUGGGAAUCUCUUUUGAAGUGAUUGUGAAAGUGGAUAAUUUCAUAUUCCCAGCUGAAUUUGUCAUUCUGGAUUGUGAGGUUGACACAGCGAUGCCCAUUAUAUUGUGGAGACUAUUUAGGGCCACUUGUAGUGUGAUAGUUGACACAAAGAAAGGAGAGCUAAAAUUCAGAGUCAACGGCGAGGAAGACACCUUCAACAUUCAAAAAUCAAUAAUGUCAGUGAUCAAAUAUAUUGUUGACCAUAAAGGGUACUCCUACGGGGUAUCUUGAUGAAUUAUCAGUAAUCAAGAUACCCACGUCAUGCUGCAACAUUAAAUCAAGAGUUGCAAAGGAAGAGACCCAUGGGCUUGUUGGUGAAGUCUGAGUAACCAACAUAGCCACGUCAUGUCGCGAUGUUAAAUCAAGUGCUGAGUGGGAGGCAACCUACUAUUUUUGUAUUCACUCUUUGUUGUUUCUCUUUUUAUAGGUUUUUAGCUCCUGGACUUACCCGAAAUAUGGUAAAAUUGCUACAUUCAUCAAUUUCCAUGUAAGAGGACUAUGUGACUAACCCACCAUGGUCACAAGUACCACACAAGCCAGGUAAGUUGAACAAUAAAUUGUAAAGUUGAAAUUUUAAGGAGGAAAAAUGAAAGGUGUGGACUUUGGCACCUAUUUCAUGCUUUUAGGACAAUAACUUUACGUUUUGGAACCAUUAAUAUUUGGAAAAAUAUUAAAAAGCCAAGUCUGGAGUGCAGGAAAGUAGGCCAAAAUUUUUAGUCCUGCACUUGCGCCUUACACCUACUGGCCGUAGGUGGCAGGCGCAAGUAGCUUCCAUAGCUAGGUCAUGAGUGGGACCAAAUUUUGAUUAAAAUUUUAGGCCCGCCAACACAUAUAUAUGACCUAAAACAGCCCCCAUCCUUAUUUAAACACAUUUAACCUUAUUCUAACUCAUUCAAAUCCUCAAAACUUCACUUUUCUCCUUAAAUUCAAACUUUUCUCUUAAAAUAUAAACUAACCCCACACUUAGGUAAGGCUAAAUUGACACUUUUUUGAGAUACCAACUUGUCCCAACACACUAAAAACAUGUUCCAACUUUGAUUUUGCUUGAGUUUUUCUUUGUUCACUUUUGGUUCAUCAUAAAAGAGGUACCUUUCUCGGAUGCUAAUGAUUAUGUAUCGAUUUAUUUAUUUUUUAAAAAAGUUGAUAUGUGUAUUUCCAUACAAAAUAUGUAGAUUCCAUCAUGCUUGUAUGUAGGAGCCUUAAAGUAGCCUAAAAUUAUAAUGUAGGGCCUUGUUUUGAAUUAACUUCUAAUGUUAGGCCCUAACCCAAAGUUGAACUUGAAGGAGUAGAGUAAUAUCACAAGUUGAGCAUGUUUAGUUUGCCUUGAAAAUCAUGAUUCCUGACAUAUGUACGUAUAUUAGACAUGCUGGGAUUUCAAAUAUGUUAUAGAGGUAUGAAAAUUGAGGAAAUUUGAAUUUUUCAAAUUUGAGUUUUUCUUCAACUUUGUUAUCCCUCAUUUUUGUUGGAAACUAAAAAUUAGGUUUUCAGGUACAUAUGGCACCUAAAGUUGCUAAGAUGAAGAAGGUCGAUACCUCGAGGAGAUGGGUAGAGUCUUUCGAGCCUAGUAGUUCAGUGGAGGAGUACCCGAUGCAACGAUGUAGAGACACUUCUGUUGGGCUGACACGUAGAGUUACUAGAGGGACGAUGUGCUAAGCUACUCAGUAAUAUUCAGCCUGACCAUGGAUAAAAUCCACGUGAAUGUCAUCCCAUACACUCCUCUACAAGAUGAUGACAACGAUAAGGAUGAGACAAAUUCUGAGUCUACUCCACAGGUUGUAGCUUAGGACCCCCAGUCUGAGGAGGGAUCCUGGUAUUUCUCUGAGUAUGCUGAGUAGAAAGAGUCAUCAGCAGUACCCCAGUCUAAUGAGGGUACCGCUACAUAGGUAGAAUAUCAAAUGUACCCCAGUUCGAGGAGGGUAUAAAGUAGGCUUCCCACAAAGCAUUAGUACAGUAGGGGCAGAGCCCUACACCCACACAUACUAUUAAGGUACCUCUGAGGUAGUGUGUAGAGAAUAUGAUGGCAGUUUAUAAUAUAGAUAGUCAUAUCUCAGAUAGUAGCAGGCCUAAGGGUCUUAUUUAUGAGAAGCACCAAGUUGAUCUAUCUGUAUUGGGGUGAGUACCACAGUUAUGAGUUGUAUUCGAUCGUUACUAGUUAGAGUGGAUGACUAGACCACUCAGUUCUAAUAGCUAGACCAUGGUGUGUGAGUUUUAUGCAUUAUGUUAAGCUACAGUAGAUCCUUCCAUGCAUAAAUUUUUAGGAACAAUGAGGCACAUGGAGCAGCCACAACUUGAUCAUACACUUGUGAGAGGGGCCAGUGUUGAUCUUUCAACAAUGACUAUCCAUCAGGCUAUCUUUGGUCCAGAUUAGAUCACUCCCGCAUCUACAGCUGAGCGUGACUAUAGAUUAAGAGUCAUACGUGAUCGAUAUAUUAUACAAGAGGCUGAGCACAGAAGAGAGAUAGUUGAGAUGGCUAGGUAGAUAGCUAGCUAUAUUUUACCUUUGGAUGAUACUACCCCAUGUAUUAAGGGUUAGGGUAUGAUCAAGAAGGGCCAGUUGACAUUUGAAGCCAAGUUUUAGUGGUUACUGAUCAGAUAUCGAUUGUUCCCUACUACUUCAGAUAAUUUGUUGACUUGGGAGGGAGUAGCCCUAGUUGCUAGUAUGAUGGCCAUAUAUUCUAUUGAUUUUUCUGCUAUUGUCCGAUGUGAGAUCCAUGACAAAACAUUUGGGGAGAUGGCUAAUCUACCAUUUCCUUUCAUGAUUUAGAGACUAUGCAAUAAGGACAAUGUGCUUGAGAUAUUGGGAGUAGAUCAGAGGGUACAUAUGAUGGUUACUAUGCAGAAAAGUGUAUGAAGGAUCUACAUGCCCAGGCCUUACCAGGAGAUUAACAGAGCCAGUCACAGUACCUAGGGCCAAGAAUGAGGUCCCAACAGUUUCCAUAGAGCCUGGUGAUACACAUGCAGACGAUCUGGGUGUUAGUGUUAAUAUAGAGAUAAGGGAGUAGAGAGAGGAUCCAUAUUCGAGUAUGUAGAUAGAGGGGACACCAGCCACCUCUACAUCAACCCAGUUUCGACCUCAGAGUCAGGUUGUGUAUCUUUAGAGCCUACUCGGCCAUCUACUACAACUCUUUCUCUAGGUAUGAUUACUAUAUCCAGAUUGUUCUUGGAAAGCUUAGUGGACAGUUAGAGGGCCACUAAUGCUCAAUUGAGGGUUUUUGAGAUUGAGAUGACUACCCUAUAAGAGAAGAUGAGAUUUAGGGUUCGGACUAGAUUUAAGAAAGUAGAGGCUAGAUGGGAGGCUGCAUGGAGAGCUGCACUGUCUAAGCUAUGUGCUGACUUCCAGAUAAUUCUUACAGAGUUUAAGAGAUGGGUUACAAAUUGAUUUAUAGAGACAGAGAUGCCGUAUCUAGCCAAAUGGGGUAGGAUUUUGAUAUACUAUAAGCAGAUGUGUGCUUUCUCACAGAGAGCGGUGUAUAAUGCACUCCCUCAAUUAUAGCCCCAGUGGUCCAGAUAUUACCUCUACACGAUCGAGAUAGUUUGAUUUCUUUGCAGAUGGUGGUGAGGAGGUCCCAGUAGUUGGGGUCAAGAGAGGCUACAUUGGAGACUUCAAGGAUCCUGAUUGCCAUAUGACCAGGCCGUUAAAAGGGCCAGACAUGAUUUGAUGGAAACUAUAGUCGUUGACAAGCUGAUACAUAUAGAGCUAGCAGCGGUUGCAUCAUCUAGUAGUGCACCGCCACCAUCACCGCCUCCUCCAGCUGAUAUGCCCCCAUCUGGGGAUGCUCAUGACACAAGCGCCUAGUGCAUCCCAGGUAUGUUCUCACUUACCUUUUUUGUAUUAUUUUUAGCACAAAGAGGAUAGUGCAUAAUUUUUUUAGUUAGGGUUGGGGUAUACCAUAGCCUCCAUAAGUUUUUGUUAUCGUACUUCAUUUCCUGUCGGCCGCGGUAUGGUUUUAGAACCACCAUGUCUAGGAUUAUUUGUGUCGUAUUAUUUUUUAUUUUGUAUUGUGAUAUGUUUUUGUGUAAUUAGUAGAUCUAUAAGUAUUUAAGGUAGUAAUCAUAUUUCGAUUGAUUUUUGAUACCCCUCUAAAUUUUAUAUUUUAGUACUGUGUGAACAACAUGGAUCUUAUUAUGGCAGUGAAAUUAGGGCAUUAUAAUCACUUGCUAACUAUUGCAUGAAAUAGAUAAGUAGUAGCUUGUAAAAUUAACUCUAUGCUAUGUGUGUGUGAGAUGAAACUUAGUUCUCUUUUUGUGUUGAAUUCAAAACUUGCCCGGUUAGUCUUACCUAGGUUGUAGGAUAGUCGGUUAGGAAAGGGUCAUAGGCCGUUGUUAAUUUUAGUCCACUUUAAGCCUAAAUUACCUUCCAUGUGUGAAAUAGUAUCCCUUGAUCCCUGUUUUGAGCCUUAUAGCCUAUUUUUCUUGUUUCACAUAUUCACAUUCCCAUUUGUGCUAUAAUGAACCUAUUUUGGCCCUAGUCCUACUUGGACAUUGUGCAUCUCAACUCAAGUAAAAUGUCAAAGUUGAGGGUAGCUAUCAUAGAGGUUCAUAGUGUAAAGUGGGUAUAGAAAAGGGUAAGAUAAGAGAAAAAUUUAGUAGGGCUAGGUGUAGUAAAAAAAGUAAAAGAAAAAAAUUGUGAAAAAGUAAAGAAGAUAGAAUAAAAGACCACACCCAACCUGAAUGUUCAAUAAAGUAUAAAAAAUGGAGAAACAAGGGUGGAAUAAAAAAAAAUUGGCUAUUAAGUGAGAACCCAAGGUUAUUGUAGUGGCAAGGAGGCUUAGUGACUUGAUAUGUCCAUAUAUACCAUAUCAGCCCCCAAGCCUACAUUACAAGCUGAGAAAAGUCCUAUGGUGAUCCUAACUUGAUUGUCUAAAAACUAAGGUAAAGAAAAUAAGGGCAAGCCUAUGGUAUUUGAUGCACAUUUAUUAGAACUUCUCUUUUGAGUGUGAGCGUCUCUUGACUAUCCCUACUUUUGACAUGCAUGAUUUCAUAUAAGUGAGUGGGACAUCUUUGUUGUGAGGGCACAUAAAUCAUAUUACUAGCUAUUUUGUUAUUUUGGGUAGUGUAACUUGUACAUAUGCGUGGUUGUCUGUUGCUAAUGUAAUUCCAUACCUUGAUCCCAUUGUGUCACAUUGUUGUGGUUCAUGUUCAUACAUAUUUGGUUUUAAAAAAUAAUAUAGAAAAGGGUGUUAUGUUUCGAGCUUAAAGUCUUGAUUGACUGCUUUGAAUAGCUUAAAUUCUCCUAGUUAAGUGUCAUUUUUGUUUUGUUGUGUUUGUUUACCUGAGGACAUGCAUACGUUCUAAGUUGAGGGUUUUGAUGUGCUAUAUAAAUAUAGCACUUUUGAUGCUUAAAAUGAAAAAAAUAUGCAAGUUUUUGAGGUUAUUUUGUUAGAUAUAAUGUAUUUUGGGUAGGGGUGCGCAUCGUUCGGUUUGGUUCAAUUUUAUAUAUUAUUGGUUCGGUUUAUCGAUUUUUAGAUUUUAAAUAUGCUAAACCAAUAACCAAACCAAUAAGAUAUUUUUUAUCGAUUUUUGAUUUAUUGGUUUUUAGUCCUUAACGAUUCGGUUUAACCGAUAAGAAAAUACUCAUAAAAUAGAAAUAGUAGUAACUAACAUGAAAAAAAAAUCUAAUCUUAGUUGCAACCAAAAAUCCUACAUAAUGUGUUUUAAUUUAAAAGAAUCUUUAAGUUUGAACUAAAUGUGGUUAGGAGAAAUUAAGAGUUUGUAUAAUUGAAAUAAUAGGUUUGUUAAUUGGUAGAAAUAAAAGAGAAAUUAAAAGAAAUAUAUAAUAUAUAUAUAUAUUCGUAUUAGGUUUUUGGUUUACCCAAUAAACUAAUAAUAAAAAAUUGAACCGAACCAAUAACCCAAUAAUUUUUUUUAUAAAAUCAUUAACAAACCGUUAAUCCAAUAACCCAAUAACAAUAAACCAAUAACAUUUUUAUCGGUUUGAUUUAUUAGUCGGUUUAAUUUUUGCACACCUUUAAUUUUGGGUAUGUUUUGCAGGAAAUCAUGGUUUGGAUGCUAAUUUCAUGAGAAAAUGAAAAAAGAAUUUUUGGCUACUUAUUAGAGCAAUUAUGGAUGUUCGAGACACUUUCUGGCUUGUUCGUGAUCAAACUAUGUGCGAGAAUUGAAGAAGAGAUAAAAAGAUGACUCCCGACACUUGCUAAGUCAACAUAUGGAUCGUAAAUAGUACUUAUGAACUGCAUAUAGGCAAAGCAAGUGCCAAAAGUCCAAAAUCCAAAGAGUUGACUUGUAGGAAAAUUUUGGUCUGGCAUGUGCGAUCGCCACUUACACCCUCCCUGCUAGCCGCAAGUACUACCUACGCCCAUGGAUAGGGUGCAAGUAGAGAUCAUAAGUGGCCAACGAAUCUUUUUUCUCUUUAUUUGGUAUUUGAUUUUAGGGUUUCCUCAUGUACUAUAAAUACCCCUUAUGUGUUUUUUAGUAAAAGUUACACACUUUUGAUACUCACCAACAUAUUUUAAUUUUGGGAUUCGAUUUUGAUCUAGGAACUCUCUUAUAUUAACUUUAGUUGAUUCAAUUUAGAUAUGGUUGUGGGUUUUCUAAUUCUUAUUAUUGUGAUUUCGUCUAUGCAUUCGAUUAUGAAUGUUUAUUUUGCUUAUUUUGUUGCUUGUUUCCGUCUUGUUUGUCCUUAUUUUUGCUCUUGUUUCUGGUUUCUUAUUUGUCUCCUGUCUAUUUUUUGUAGCUUGUUUAUUGUCUCUGUCUGUGCUUAGUUCCAGCUUCCUGUGAGUACAUUGGGGACUGGUUACGGUGCUUAUUAGUGAUUUUUGUGGUGUGUGUUUUGGCUGCUAGGUUAGGUAGUAUUUUAUGUGAGUGCCUUUUUUCUAAUUUUGUAAGGUUGUUUUAUCUGUUAAGUUGUUGGCUUGGGGCUUUAUUUUUGAUGUGUUAGGUGUUGAGUAGUGGCUGGAGGGGUCAAUAGUGAAAUAAGGUCAUGUUUGAGGGGUUAGGAGUGAGGGCAGGAGUGGAUGAGGAGUAUAGGUUAGGUGUUAGGGCUGAGUCGGGAAGGGGUGGUAGAGGGAGGUAAGAGAUGAGAGAAGAUAGGUUACAGGUAGGGUCGUGAAAUAUUGGUACCCUUCAGGGUAAGUCCAUAGAGUUGGUAAAGAUUCUUAAGAAGAGGAGGGUGAAUAUUGUGUGUGUUUAGGAUACUAGGUGGGUAGAAUCUAAGGCUAGGGAUAUGGAUAGGUUCAAGCUUUAGUACUUGGAGAGGGAUGGGUGUCGGAAUGGAGUUGACAUCUUAGUGGAUGAGGAGAUUAAAGGUCAGGUGGUGGAGGUUAAGAGGGUCAGUAAUUGGCUGGUGAAGAUUAAGUUGGUCUUGGGGGGUUUUACGUUGCAUGUGUGUAGUAUUUAUGCGCCGCAGAUGGGCUUAGAAGAUGAGGUGAAGGCGAUAUUUUGGGAAGAUUUGGACGAGGUGGUGAGAAGCGUGCCUAGCGCGGAGAAGAUCGUCAAAGUAGGGGGCUUCAAUAGGCACAUUGGGGUCCUACCUUGAGGCUAUGAUGAUGUGCAUGGUGGUUUUGGCUUCGGUGUUAGAAAUGGCAAGGGAGCAGCCCUGUUGGAUUUUGUAAGGGACUUUGAGCUGGUAGUUGUGAACUCGAGUUUCCCGAAGAAGGAGGAUCACCUGAUUACCUUCUGAAGCGUGAAAGCCAAGACUCAGAUUGACUUUCUGCUGCUUAGGAAGGGGGAUCGGGUGAUAUGUAAGGAUUUUAAGGUAAUUUUGAGCGAGCACCUCUCGACCCAGCAUAAGCUGUUCGUGAUGGACUUAUUUAUCAAUAAGAGAAAGAAGAGAUGGGUCGGGGAGGGUCAAUAUCGAAUUAAGUGAGGUAGCUUGAUGCCAGAAAGUGCACUGGAUAUAGGCAAAAAAGUGGUGGGUAUGAGGGCGUGGGAGUGCAGGGGGGACCCGAUUUCUAUGUGGGAUAGGGCAGCCAGCUGCAUCACAGAGACUGCUAAAGGUGUGUUGGGUGUUUCAAGGGGCCGGACAGAUCAGUAUAAGGGGAACUGGUGGUGGAAUGAAGAAGUAAAGAAGAAAGUGGAGAUCAAGAAGAGGGCGUAUGUUGAGUUGAUUGAGAGUAAAGAUGAAGAAGGGAAACGGGUGAAUAGGGAGGUGUACAAGGUAGCUAGAAAAGAGUCUAAGUGGAAGUUACGACUGCCAAGUCAGCGGCGUUUAAGCAUUUGAAUGUUGGUUUAGAGGAGAAAGGAGGGGAUAAGAGGUUGUAUAGGCUUGGAAAAGUUAGAGAACAGAUGGGUCGUGACCUAGAUCUAGUGAAGUGCAUUAAGAGGGAGGAUGGUAGUGUUCUAGUGGAGGAUGCUCACAUUAAGAAGAGAUUGCAGGACUACUUUCAUAGACUUUUGAACGAGGAAGGGGACAGAGUCACUGAGCUAGGGGAGCUGAAGCAAUCGGAGGAGAGCUAUGAUUUCAGCUACUGCAAGCAUUUUAAGGUAGAAGAGGUCAAAGAGGCUAUUCGUAAGAUGCAGAGGGGUAGGGCAAUGGGGUCGGACGAGAUUCUGGUGUAUUUUUUGUAGUAUGUGGGUGGGGCAGGGCUUAGGUGGUUGACAAAUUUGUUUAACAGUAUUUUCAAGACUGCGAGAAUGCCUAGGCUUGGAGAUAGAGUAUGAUGAUUCUGCUUUAUAAAAACAAGGGUGACAUUUAGAGUUGCAACAACUACAGGGGUAUUAAGCUGUUGAGUCACACUAUAAAGAUUUGGGCGAGAGUGGUUGAGUGGAGAUUGAGGAGGGUUGUGUUUGUUUUGGAGAACCAGCUUGGAUUUAUGCCUGGUCGUUCAACGAUAGAGGCAAUCCAUUUGGUGAGGAUAUUGGUGGAUCAGUAUAGAGAAAGGAAGAGGGACUUACACUUGGUAUUCAUCAACCUAGAAAAGACGUAUGAUAAAGUUUUGAGGAAGGUUCUUUGGAGGUGUUUGAAGGUGAGAAGGGUCCUGGUGGUGUACACCAGAGUUAUUAAGGACAUAUACGGUGAAGGAAAGACCAGGGUGAGGACGGUGGGAGGAGACUCAGACCAUUUUACGGUUGAUAUAGGGUUGCAUUAUGGAUCGACUCUUAGUUCAUUCCUGUUUACGAUGGUGAUGGACGUGUUGAUGCGUAGUAUUCAAGGCGAUGUGCCUUGGUGUAUCUAUUUGCAGAUGGUGUAGUGCUGAUUGAUGAGAGAUCGAUGGGCGUGAAUGACAAAUUAGAGGUUUGGAGGCAAACCCUUGAGUCGAAGGGGUUCAGGUUGAGUAGGUCCAAGACGGAG
RNAcentral lists this long non-coding RNA (62302 nucleotides) under Capsicum annuum. RNAcentral's name for it is "long non-coding RNA (CANN_LNC004813)". The record is from RNAcentral. Lineage: Eukaryota; Viridiplantae; Streptophyta; Magnoliopsida; Solanales; Solanaceae.